Molecule: long non-coding RNA, 45362 nt
Filed under: Citrus sinensis (sweet orange)
Lineage: Eukaryota; Viridiplantae; Streptophyta; Magnoliopsida; Sapindales; Rutaceae
Description: long non-coding RNA (CSIN_LNC001124)
Source: RNAcentral
CAUUCAUCAUAUAGUUCUUUCAUGGACGUUCUUACCUCAGAUUCUCGGACAUGUUUCAGCAUUUCCAGGCGGUGAUUUGAGAGAACCUCCAGUGUGGCAAUCUUGCGGAUUUGGCGCCAGUAAGGACCGUAAGGGCUGAAGCCAAACAUGGCGUAGUUGUAGCCCAAGAUCUCUGGUGCUAGAGCUUUUAUGCGGUUGGAAAAAACUUUAUCAUUUGUAGUGAAGCACUCUUUAGCAAUCUCCCAGUUGCUAACAAUCAAAGCUCUAUGCAUACCCAGCUUGAUCAUGAAGAUCGGACCGCACUUUUCGGCGAUGUUGCCCAAGGUGACAUAAGCUGGUUUUUGGCCCCCUAACAGGUGGAGGUGACCAAUCAAAGGCCAUGCACCACCAGGCUCCGGCACCGGUUUCUUGUCGAUUGAGUUUCUGUGCCGUCUUGAUAACCAUAGUAGAGAGUAAACAAGCAAAAACAAAGUGAAAAAGCCAGUAAUAAAAACAGUUGGUGUGAAAGGAACAUGAGUACCGUCCAUUAACCAAACUUUCUCCGAGGUUCCAAGUGGUAGAAGGAAAGUUGGAUCAAAUAAAUACAUGAGCUGUAAACCCGAUUCAAGGAUAAUUAUAUCGGUGUCUCUGGGAUAGUAAACAUAACCUGCUGUACCGUACAUCCGCCUUGGCCGUACAGCAGAUAUAUAAAGAUAUAAUAUAAUAUUACAUUAUUUAAUUAUAUUACAACAAUUAAUACAUAAAAUUAAUUAUUUUUAGAUACAAAUGAGGGAUUGUAUCUCCUAAAAUCUAGUAUUUAAGUCAACACAUAGCUGUAAAAUACAACUGACAUCUACAACAAUAGUCAACACACAACUGUAAAAUAUAACUGACAUCUGAAACACUCCCCCUCAAGCUGGAGCAUAGAUGUUCUUCAUGCCCAGCUUGCAUACAAACUCUUCAAACUUGUGUCCAUGUAUUCCUUUUGUCAACAUAUCUGCAGUUUGUUGUCCUGUAGGAAUAUACACCAAACAGAUAACUCUAGUUUCCUAUUUCUCUUUAAUAAAAUGUCGGUCUACCUCCAUAUGUUUUGUCCUGUCAUGAUGGACAAGAUUAUGAGCAAUAUUAAUUACUGCCUUAUUUUCACAGUAAAGUUGCAAAGGACUGUUUUUUAUUAACUGUAGUUCUUUGAGAACACGUUCUAUCCACAGAAGCUCACAUACCACAUGUGCUAGUGCUCGAAACUCUUCUUCUGCACUGCUUCGUGCCACUACAGUUUGCUUCUUACUUCUCCAAGUUACAAGGUUUCCCCACACCUUAGUACAAUAACCUGUUGUAGACUUCUUAUCCAUGACGUUUCCAGCCCAAUCUGCAUCAACAAAAGCUUCUAUAUUCUUUUUUUCUCCCUUCUCAAAAUAAAUUCCCUUUUCCGGUGUUGACUUCAGGUAUUAAAGUAUUCGGUUUACUACCACUAAGUGAGCUUCUCUUGGAGAGUGCAUAAACUGGCUCACUAAGCUAACCGUAAAAGCAAUAUCAGGUCUAGUAUGGGAAAGAUAAAUUAAUCUCCCUACUAGUCUUUGAUAUCUCCCCCUCUCCACGGGUGCACUAUUUUCUUCAAGACCCAACUUGCUAUUUGGUUCAACUGGUGUGGCAGCAGGUUUACAGUCAAUCAUACCAUUAUCCUUUAGCAAAUCUAGGGUGUAUUUCCGCUGUGUAACUAGAAUACCUUAGGCUGUUCUAGCUACCUCCAUUCCUAAAAAAUAACGUAGUGGUCCAAGAUCCUUGAUUUCAAACUCACAAGCUAAUUUUGCUUUUAAUCCUUCCAGCUCUUCUUUGUCAUCUCCUGUUAGUAUAAUGUCGUCAACAUACACGAUCAAAAUAGCUAACUUCCCUUCUUUAGACCAUUUGUAGAACAUAGUGUGAUCAGUUUUCCCUUGAGAAUAACCGUAAUUCUUCAAGACUUUUCCAAACCGGUCAAACCAAGCCCUAGGGGACUGUUUAAGGCCAUAGAGAGACCUUUUUAACCGAAAAACUCUUCUAGCAGGUCCUUUUUCUUCAAAACCAGGCGACAUAUCCAUGUAAACCUCCUCUUCCAAUUCUCCAUUCAAGAAUGCAUUCUUGAUAUCAAGCUGGUUGAGAGGCCAAUCUAAAUUUGCAGCAAGAGAGAGAAUGAUCCUUACAGUAUUAAGCUUUGCCACUGGGGCAAAAGUCUCUAGAUAGUCCACCCCAUAGGUUUGUGUGAAACCCUUCGCCACGAGUCUUGCUUUGUACCUGUCCACACUUCCAUCAGCCUUAUAUUUGACUGUAAAUACCCACUUGCACCCCACAGUCCUCUUGUCUUUAGGUCUUGGUACAAGCUUCCAUGUGUUAUUCUUUAUUAAGGCUGUCAUUUCUUCUUGAACAGCUUUCUUCCACUCAUUUGACUCUAGGGCUUCAUGGAUGUUUCUUGGAAUAGUGGUAUUAGAUAGAUUAGCCACAAAAUUCCUAUACUCCUUAGAUAGAUUUGCAUAUUGUUAGCCUAAAGGGCUACACAUAUUGUAAUUUUGAUGAUAACAAACAUGUGUCUUAAGUAAAUUUAAUAAAUAUUGUAUUUCACAUUUUCACUAGUUUUUGAAGGAUAAUAUUUAUGCAAGUGAAUCAAGUGAAAUCAAGCUCAAGACACUCAACGGACAACGGCGAAAUCAAGAAUAAAUUUUAAAGCUCAACGGAUAAAUUAUUGCUAUAAAUUCUUGUAAAGCCGGUAUGAUUUAAUUGAUGCAUGAUUUAACAUUUGAGAAACUCAAGAGAUUAAUUUAAUUAAUUACUUUCAUAAACUAAAAGGUUUUAUUUUUUAUAAGAUAAAAUAUUUUGUGGUUUUGAGUAUUUUGGACUUAAAUGGAAAGUUUUGCAAUCCUUGUUCUUUUAAUAAGUAUUAUCUAGAAUUCCGGAGUUGGACCUUUUUGCAAAUAUGUGAAAUGUUUUAGGCCAUACUAUAAUUUGUGAACAUUUUUGGACUAAAGUGCAAAGUUGUGAGAACUUUGAAAAAUAUGAGUAUUAUGUUAAAUUUUGAAAAAAUACCUCUUUGACAAAUAAUAAUAUAUUUGGGGCCAUAGCAUAAUUUCAAAAAGUUUUGGAAAGAUAAUUAUUAUUAAGAAAUUCUGAAAUUGAACUUAUUUGUAAAUUUUUAUGACGUUUUGGGCCAUAACAUAAUUAUAAAAAGUUUUGGGCUAAAGUGUAAUUUUAGUGAACAGUGUUUAUGUAGCAAAAUUCAAAAAUAACGGUAAUAUCACUGUUACAAGCGGCUAGCCGGAUAAAUCAAGCUGCUAACCGCUUGGGCGUUGGAAUUUGGCUGUAACGGCUAGUUUUCGGGCUUUAACUAUAAAAACUCAACUCCAACUUCAUUUUAAGAACUAAUGCAAGCAUAAAUAAGAUCAUAUAACAUAUAUUGAGCUUCCAUUUUGCAAAUCAUCAUUUAUUGAAUCAUUAUUGAGUUAUAAUUUGUUAUCCACUCUUAAAGAGAGUUUCAUUGUUGUGAUUUUCAGUUCUCAUCAAAUUGUGAGUGUACAAGUGUGAGAAACACUUGGAGUGAAGAGAUUGAGGAUAUAAUCUUUUGUUGUAAAGGUCCAUUGACAUCUUGAAAGUCAUUUGUAAACAUUUAAAGCCUUGGGAGGCUUGGAUAGUGAAAUCAUCAAGCCGGGUGAGCUUGGAGGCGUGGACGUAGGCAGGGAUAGCCGAACCACGUAAAAAUCCUUGUGUUUGUUUUCUCUUCCCUUACUCUUUUAAUAUUGUGCUUGAUUGAAUUUAUUGUUUUUUAUUUGAUUAAGGCAAUAGAUUAAAUUGUUGUGCGAAUUGUAUUACAUAAAUUUUAAAAUCUCAAUUCACCCCCCCCCCUCUUGAGUUGCAUAACUUGCAUUUCACAUAUGACAAGAACUUGUAGAUAGGAUGUUUGGUGCAAUUUCUUACCCUUUUCCUUAUCGCAAUAGGCAAAUUUGUGGACUUCUGAGGUUCGUUCUCAGCAUAUUCAGUAGGUGGGUUUUUAUCCUCCCUUAGUUCAGAUCUUGGUUCUGCUUGGUCUAUAAGUGGUUGUACCUCUUGAGUUUUAUUCUUCCUUCGUGAAUAGACAUGAAACUCGCCUAUAGGUUCCUCCAAAUGUGAAUUGGCUUUUAUCUCUUCAUUCCUUGGUGCCACUAUUGGUUGAUUAAGUUCUAUGGUGUUAGGUAGGUUAGGAUGAAUGUCUGGACUGAGGAAGGAGGUAUUUGGUAGAUUGAGUUCUAGGCUGGAAUUACUGGACAUAUUGGGUUCUAGGCUGGAACUGCUGGACAUAUUGGGUUCUAGGCUAGAAUUACAAGGCAUCUUAGGUUCUAAAAUGUCAAGAAGAUCCCAAGAAUUAUCUUUUCUCAAAUUCUGCCCCUGAAGAGAAUUACUCGUGUAAAAUGGCUAAUUUUCAAAGAACUUGACAUCCAUUGCGACGAAUAAUUUUUUGGUAAGAGGAUUAUAUCACUUGUACCCUUUCUUGGUAGGAGAAUAUCCUAAAAAUAGGCACUUGAUGGCUCUAAGAGACAGCUUUGUUCUUUGAAGACUCAGAAGAUAUACAAAUGAUGUACAACCAAAAGUUUUGAGUCCAAGAUUAGAGGUAACAAGGUGAUUUUGUGGGUAGCUGUCAAGAAAAACAUAAAUAGGUGUCUUGAAUUUAAGAACUCGAGAGGGCAUACGAUUUAUGAGAUAAGAUGCUGUAAGAAUGGCCUCUCUCCAAUAUAUUUUUGGUACAUUUGCUGUGAACAUAAUGGCCCUAGCAACCUCUAAAAGGUGUCUGUUUUUACAUUCCGCAACCCUAUUUUGUUGUGGUGUUCCAGAACAAGAACUUUGGUGGACAAUUCCUUGUUGUGAUAGGUAAUUCCCUAAAAUAGAAUUGAAAUACUCAGUUCCAUUAUAUGUACGAAGUACACGAAUGUCAGUUUGAAACUGAGUUUUUACCAUGGCAUGGAACUGUUUAAAAGUUUGUCCAGCUUCAUAUUUUUCCUUCAAAAAGUACACCCAAGUGGUCCUAGAGUGGUCAUCUAUGAAUGUAAUGAAACAUUUUGUUUUUGACAGGUUGUUAACCCUUGAGGGGCCCCAAAUAUCACUAUGAAUCAAAGAGAAAGGUUGGGAUGGUUUAUAAGUACGGGCAGGAAAUGGAACACGUGUUUGUUUAGCCAUUUGACAAAAAUCACAAUAUAAUAAACUCAGAUUUUUAUUUUUAAAUAAGGAAGGAAACAGGGUUUUUAGGUAUGGAAAGCUAGGGUGGCCUAACCUAUAGUGCCACAACAUUAUUUCAGAAGAAACAAAUUCACAUUGAGAGACCUGAGCAUGUCCUUUCACGGGUCCUUUAUUCUCGAGAUACUACAGCCCCUCAUAUUCUUUCGCAUUCCCAAUCAUCCUCCCCAAGAUUGGAUCCUGAAAUAGAUAUUUAGAACCACAGAAUUUAGCUACACAGUUUGUGUCUUUGGUAAGUUUACUAACUGAAAGAAGAUUACAUUUAAGAUUUGGGACAUGUAAAACUGAAAAAAGAGUCAAACAAUUUGAUAGUUUUACUGUUCCUUUUCCAGCAACAGUGGAUAAUGAUCCAUCAACAAUCCUCACUUUAUAAUUACCUGGACAUGGAGUGUAACUAGAGAAAAAUUGAGAAUACCAUGUCAUGUGGUCUGAGACCCCUGAAUCAACUAUCCAAGGACCUUUUUCAAAGGAUUGGAUGCUAAGGGCUGAUGGGUUACCUGUAUGGACUGCAUUACAACUAGAGGAGGUCAAGUAAUUUCUUUUUGCUUGUUGAUUUUGUAUGAGAAGCUGUUGCAGCAUCUUAAAUUGAUCUUUUGCGAGAGCAAACUGAUUAGUUUUCUCUGUCACCAUUCCUUUUGCUUCCUACUGACGUUUUGGUUUCCAAUCUGCUGGCUUUCCAUGAAGCCUCCAGCAUGAGUCUCGAGUAUGUCCUUUCCUAUGACAAUAGUCACAAUAGGGACGUUCUCCAUGUUUUUGUCCCUUUUGGUUAGCUGACUGAUCUGUCUUUUUGGUCACCAACGCUAAUCUCUCUAUCUCAGGUUCCUUCACGAGUCCCAUCAUGACUCUCUUUUGACUUUCUUCACGCCUCACCUUAGCAAAAGCUUCUCGGAUGGAGGGUAGAGGAUUCUUUCCCAAUAUUCUGCAAACUCAAGAACUUCAUCAAGUUCUUUGUUGAGUCCAUAAAGGAAAUCAAAGAGGCGUUCUCUAUCCAACAUCCUCUUAUAUUUGAUGUCAUCCUCAGAGCAAUGCCACUGCGAUUCAUAGUAAAGGUCAAGUUCAUGCCAUAUAUUGUUUAGAGAAUUGAAAUAUUGAGUCACUGAAAGACUCCCUUGCUUUUGGUCACGUAAUUGUGACUUGAUUUCAAAGAGCUGAGCCGCAUUCCCAAGGUUAGAGUAGGUUUCUGUCACGGCUUCCCAAAGCUCCUUCGCAGAUGGUAGGAAGAGAUAAGUCCUACCAAUAUCCACGUCCAUCGAGUUGAUCAACCAAGCUUGCACCAUUGAAUUUUCAGCAUCCCACUGUGGAUAACCAGGAUCCAAGACAUCAAGGGCUUUGGUUUCCCCUGUAAUAUACCCUAAUCAGCCUUUGCCACGAAGAAAUAGGGUGACAGAUUGAGACCAUUGCAAAAAGUUUCUGCCAUUUAACUUGUGCAAUGUUAUUUGCAAAGAGGGGUUUUCGGUACCUAAGGAGACCAAAGAGUUGUCCUGCCUUGUUACAGAACUGGAGGAAAUCUCAGAUCCUUGUGUAGGGUUUGUUGUCCUCUCCAGUGGAAGGCUUGAGACUUUAGAAUGGAAGAGGAGAAAAAUUCAGAGGCUAAGUUCAAAAGAGCUGCCCUGAUACCAUGUGAAAAUCAGAUUUCUUCUGUUUUUACUCUCUAUUUUCUCAUCUUAUACAAUAGAGAAGAAUACCUAUUUAUAUACAUUACACCCUAGGAACAAAAUGGUAAAAACAGCUAAGAUAUUGCAAAUCAGUAUCCCUUAAAAUUAGGGAUUGUAUCUCCUAAAAUCUAGUAUUUAAGUCAACACAUAGUUGUAAAAUAGAGCUGACAUCUACAACAAUAGUCAACACACAGCUAUAAAAUACAGCUAACAUCUACAACAGAAAUAAACUUGGCAUGAUUAUUGUUGUAAGUCUCACUAGCAAAAGCAGUCUUAUCGAAGCCAGCGCUAUCAAGAAUUGUAAUCACUGAAAGCUCAGGUUGUCCCUCUAUCAAUACAUCUAACAAUUGCUCCAUGUCCCUCUAUCAAUACAUCUAACAACUGCUCCAUGUCCCUCUUCUGAACAAGAAAAAUACGAAGAAGAAGAAGAAGAAUCACUUGCUUCUGUUUGAAUCUCCUGCUUUAAUUCACUAACAUCUUCGCGGUUGGGGGGAAGUCGUUGUACCGGAUUUCUUAUAUCGAUGAUCUUAUUUUGGAUUCUUAUAAGAGCAUCGGAAAACUCCUUAGAAGUAGUAGCACUGCUUUCACUAUUGGUUGUAGUGACUGUCUCAAUGGCUCUCCCAGAUUCAUGGAAAAAGUAAUUGAUCUCCUUCAGAACGCCUAAAAAACCUUCUCUAUCGACAUGAUCUUCAUUGAUCAUUUGAAACAUAAGCCAAGCUAUGUCACCUUCAUAGUGCUACGGGAAAGAAAUUAUAGUAAUAAUCUCGAAUAGGAUGUUUAGAAUACGCGGCUUUAAAUUUGUUGAAUCCGGCAAUAUUCCUUCUUCACCUGCUAAUAGCCUUUUCAACCUCUCAGAAAAUAGUCGAAGGUUGGUGUCCAUAGCUUCUUCUCUCGGUAUUCUAGUAUUAUAAUUAGAGCAUUACUAAUUAUUCUUCACGAAAUGAUAGCACAAACAUUAAUGUGAAUACAUGAUUAUUAAAUCAAGUCCUAGGGGCGGAUUCAGAAACUUAAUUCAUUGGGACAAAAUUAUAAUAAAAUUAAUAAAUUAUAAAAUUUACCCCAAUAUUAAAAGUUCUUUAUAAACUUGCCUCCAUUGAAACAAAAUUGGAUAGAUGCUCGUUUAUCCUCUAUAUUUUGCAUUAAGUAUCUCUCAAUCUUUAUAUUUUAAAAAAUGUCUUAAGAUACUCUGCUAUUAAAUAUAUUAUACUUUUGUCCUUACUUUUUUUUUUAACUUUUAUAAAAAUAUCCUUACAAUAAUCUUAAGGAUAUUAAUUUAAAAUAACACAAAAAAAAGUACUAAAGAUACAAAGGACAAAAAGAAAAUUGUAUUAUGGUAAAUAUUAUUUUGUCCUAUAAACUUUUUUCUUUUUUGUAGAGAUAGUGUGUUAUUUUUUAUACACAUACCACGAUUGCUUCUAUACCAUUGAAAAAUAAAUAUAGCCUUUUCACGUGCAAAUUAUUCAAGAACUCUACAAAUUCUACAGGAUUUUGCAGCCAAAACGAAUUCUAAAAUUCAUAAAACUUAUGUCAUAUAAAGACAAAGUGUCUAGUACUGUAACUAAUUAAUUACGAAAUUUCUAAGCACUCAAUAGAUCAUUAAAAUCAUCAUUGUAGCUACGAUUUUCUUCCUAACGUUUCUCCAAUUCUAGAUAGUAGAUCUCUUUAUUAAAUGGUCAAAAAUUAGAAAAGCGGCUAAAUCAAAAACUGAAUUAUGAAACUCAUUAUGUAAUAAUCUAAACUUAACUUCUAAUUUUGUAAUAAAAUAGAUUACAAAUGAACAUAAAAAAUGAUCAAACUAUAAGUAUAAUUUAUUUAGAAGAAAAUCAAAAUAAUUAAUAAGAAAUUAAUCACUUACCAAAGUCAAGAAGUGCAAGAGAACAAACGCAAGUUAUUAUUCCCAGUGCGUCGAACUUAUGAUAAUCACAAUGAUCACUCAGAUUAAUAAAUUGGAAUCACAACUUUAGAUCUAGAAGUCAUGCUAAGUGUGUCUGCCAUUAGUCCUUUCAUGAAAAUGUUUAUACUCAUGAUUAAUUUGCAGCUAGGACUUUGUAAUUAUCCGAAUUGAAGUUUCAACUAAUUAUCUUGACUUUGGUCAGUGAUUUCUUUUAAAAUUAUUUUGAGUCUUUUUCUUUAAAUAAAGCAUGACGUUGGAUCACUAUUGACGUUAACUUGUGAACUACUUUAGUUGAUCCCCUCAAUAUUAGAAACUAUAUUAUAUUGGAAAUAAUUAAGAGUGUUAAAAUUAUGAAAUUUCGUAAAAUUUCAUAAUUUUUCAUGGUGUCAUUUAAGGUUUCUACUUGUAAAGGCAAUAGAUUUCUGCAGAGCUAGCUGGUCUUUAUGUGAUUGGAAAAAUCUAAGUUCUGUUAUACAAUCAACAUACUUAGUAUCAUCUGCCCAAAGUUUUACCAUAAUCACAAGUAGAGGUGACAAUUUGGGUUAGCAGGUUGUGUUCAUAUCAUAGCCUCCUCUUGCCAUUAAAUUUGAACUAGUUUAAAUCUGACCCAUUUAUUAAUUGUGUAAGGAAUUUAAAAUCCUAACCUAGACUCAUUUAUUGUCCUAUCUGAGUCGUUUAACCCAUUUAACAAAAUUUUAAUAUUUUAUUCAGAAAAUAUCACAUUGUUAACGUGUUUUUAUUUCAUAGCAUAUACAUAUUAUUAGAUUACAACCCGUAGCGAAGCUAGCAAAGGCCUUUUUCUGGGCUACAGCUCUGUAAGGUCCCUGCAAAAUUUCUUCUAAAUCCCUCUAUUUUUAGUUUAUGAAAAUAUAAUUACAGAAAUUACGGCUUUCUUCCAUCUGAUUUUUACUUGAGAUCUAAAAAUUAUGUAUAUAAUUUGAGUAGUUAUUAAAAGUUUGUUCAAGCAAUUAAGUUUGAGCAGUUCGCAUAGGCUUUUAUAUAUUCUAAGGGUUAAAAAAUUUAGGUAGCUUAGCCAAUAUAUCUGGAGUACAACGACUAGGGUGCAAGGAUGUUAUAAAAAUGAGAUUUCUCAGAAAGCUGCAAUAUUUUCUUAGAGGUGCAGGUAGAGUGAUGGAAUCAAAGUUUAGAUGCAUGAGUUUUGCAUCAUCCAAGUAUUCUGGUGACUGUUUAUAAGGGUGCAUAAUGAUGAAGGAAGGCUUUUGAGGGAAAGGAAUUGAAUUCAUGAGCUUCAAAUAUUUCAUAGAGAAUAAUUUUUUUCAUUCUAGAUGGACAUCAGUCGAGAAUCGAAAACUAGAUAACCUAAGGUCAUGUUUGUUUUGAAGAAAGGGGGAGGAGAGGAAAAGACUGGAAUGAAGGAGAAGGGAGAAGAAAGGAGUGGAGAAGAAUAGUGAAAUUGAAUUUUAUUAUUUGGUUUGACAUAAAAUUUGAUAGAGAAAGGGAUUAUAAUUUUUUUCUUUGGACAAAUUUAUCAUUUGCCUUAAAUGCUAAACUAUCUAUAUUAGUAAUAAAAUAUAAUUUAAUAUCAAUACCAAAAAUUUUUACCGUACGGUUUUAAAAUAUUAUGAAAUUAACACUUUAAAACCCUGUUUUCUUUUAUUUUCCCGCACUUUAAAAUUCUGGAUUGAAAAAUUUAUACACACACACACACACAUAUAUAUAUAAACGGCAGUCCAACGAAGUUCCAAAGGCAUUCCCACGACGAUCGAUGGAAUUCUGACGGCUUCCGACAAUAGUCUGAUAGUGAUCCAAUAGAACUCCGGCGACUUACGACGAUGGUCAAAUGGUAGUCUAGCAGAGUUCUGGCGACAGUCCGGCAGAGUUCCGGCUAUGGAUAAUUUAUAUUUCUAUAUUUUUAUAUUAAAUAAAUAAAUACCCCGAUGGAGGUCCCGUGAAGGUUCGGCGAAAGUCUGGCAAUAGUUAAUUUAUAUUUCUAUAUUUUCAUAUUAAAUAAAUAAGUUUAUUAUUUUGUUAAGUUUCUUAAAUCAUUCAUUAAAUUUAAUUAUUAUAAAUUUUUUUAUAAUAUUAAAUUGAUAAAAUAAAAUUAUAAAUAAUAAUUAUUAAUGGCAUUAAACAAGCUUGAAGGGUAAUUUUGGAAGGUUCAAUUUUCAACAUAAGAGGAAUUUGAAUUCUUCAUUCCUUGGUGUGAGAUUCAAAUUAUACAUUACGAUAGAUAUUAAAUUCUAAUGAAAAUUAAAUUUUUAUAUAUUUUAUCCAACCAAACAAUGGAAAUAAAAAUAAAAUUUAAGUUACUUUCCUUUCCUCCAUUCUCUCGUUCUAACCAAACAUCACCUAAGUUCAAUUUGAACUUUUUUUUACAAAUUUUUUCGGAAAAUAUGUGAUGGCAGGAUUAUUGCUUUCUCAGUUGAAGAUACGCAAAGAAUGGAGGUAUGUGUCAAAAUGCUUUAAAAAUUUUACUUCUUCAAUCGAAUUUCAAAAAUUUACUUUGUUAAUCAAAGAACUAGAGAACCUACAUAAUAUAUACCUUGGGGAAUUUGAACUUUUAAAUAAGCUUUCUGUUCAGAAAUUCAUUAAUCAAUUUACUUCCUAAUUAACAUGUCUAUAAAAUUCUAGAUCCUUUGGUCAAUAAUUUUAAAAAUUAAAAGGAUCAAAUCUCCUGCUUUUAUGUUAACAAAAGCUCAAAAGAAUUAUAAGUGAAAUUACUUACCAAAGUCAAAAGGUGCAUGCAGAGAAACUAAAAAAUUGCAAUGUAUCAACUUCAGGAGAAAUUUUAGAAUAAAUCAGAGUCAUCAUUUUAAUCAAAUAAUAAAUAAAUUAUAUUAUAAGAUAUAUGCAUUUAUUUUUAUACAAAUUAAGGUCAAUGGUAGCUAAUUAUCUAAAUGGAGGGGCGCUACUACAGUACAUGCAUGUAUCUCAUACAUGCAUAAAAAAUAGCUAUUGGAUUAAAUUGGAGUAGAUCGAAUGGUUGAGAUUUUUUAUUAUUAUUAAAUAUGAAAGAAAUGGAAACUUGAAAAAUCGGUAAACAUGAAACAUGGGACCAAUAAACAUGAAACGCAUACCAUUAACUUGAAACUAGGAUCAUUAAACUUAAAACUAAAGGAACUUGAAACUUAGAGCAAUAAACAUGGAACUUUGGAUCAUUAACUUGCAACUCCAAAAAUCACGCAAUUAAUGAACCAAUAAAUAUGAAACAUCUACCAUUAACUUAAAACUGGGACAAUUAAACUUGAAACCAAAAAAACUUGAAAUUGAGGGCAAUGAACAUGAAACUUGGAAUUAUUAACUUCCAACCCCAAAAACCAUGCAAUUAAUGGACCAAUAAACAUGAAACAUCUACCAUUAACUUGAAACUGAGACCAUUAAACUUGAAACCAAAUAAAUUUGAAACUGAGGGCAAUGAACAUGAAACUUAGGACCAUUAACUUGCAACCACGAAAAUCAUGCAACUAAUAGACCAAUAAACAUAAAACACCUACCAUUAACUUGAAGCUGAAACCAUUAAACUUGAAACCAAAUGAACUUGAAACUGAGGGCAAUGAACAUGAAAUUUAUGAUCAUUAACUUGCAACCCCAAAAAUCAUACAACUAAUGGACCAAUAAAAAUGAAACACCUACCAUUAACUUGAAACUGAGACUAUUAAACUUGAAACCAAAUGAACUUGAAACUGAGGGCAAUGAACAUGAAAAUUGGGAUCAUUAACUUGCAACCCUGAUUAAUGGACAAAUAAACAUGAAACACCUACCAUUAACUUAAAUCUGGGACCAUUAAAAUAGAAACCAAAUGAACUUGAAACUUAGAGUAAUAAACAUGGAACUUAAGAUCAUUAACUUGCAACCGCGAAAAUCAUGUAAUUAAUGGACCAAUAAACAUGAAACUCCUAUCAUUAAUCUGAAACUCAGAUCAUUAAACUUGAAACAAAAGGAACUUGAAACUUAGAGUAAUGAACAUGGAACUUAGGAUCAUUAACUUGCAAUCGCAAAAAUUAUACAAUUAAUGGACCAAUAAACAUGAAACACCUACCAUUAAUAUGAAACUGGGACCAUUAAACUUGAAACUAAAGGAACUUGAAACUUAGAGCAAUGAACAUGGAACUUAGGAUCAUUAACUUGCAACCCUGAAAAUCAUGUAAUUAAUGGACCAAUAAACAUGAAACACUUACCGUUAACUUGAUUCUGUAACCAUUAAACUUGAAACUAAUUUUUAUUUAUUAUAAAACUGAAUUUUUUAUUAUUAUGUUGCCUUUAUUAUUAAAAUAAUUAUUAUUUUAUUUUAUAAUAUAAUAUUUAUUUAAGGAACAACCGAUUGCCCUUUACGGAUUGCUCCAAGGUUUUUUCUUUUUUUUAAUGUUUGGCUGCCACUUGGCCAUAUUUUUUAAAUUUUUUUAUUACUCGCAUGUAUGUGAUACAUGCGGGGAUUGUAGCGGUGGCCCUAAAUGGAGACUUCUAGCUGGCCAAAGUCAAAACUCAAAAGAAGACAGCUGCAUGAUUUUUUUUUUUUGAAAAAAAAAUGAACCUUGGCUGCGAGGUAAUUUCAUUGAAAAAUAAAGGACAAUGUACUCUCCUGGUAAAGGGACAUAGUGGAGCCUUACUCUCAAAAUAGUUAGAAAACUGCAACACCAAAAAAAUAAAAAAGUAGAAAGAGCACACUUAAGAAAGAUGAUAACUAGAAAAUCUAUCAGCAUCAUUAGAAAGAAACCCUGAAAAUCCACCAAGGGUAAAUAAAAAGACAGUUACAUGAUUAAUUACUUAUUAGUCGUUAAUCAUAAAACAGAUAUAUGAAAAGAUAAUGAGGAGGUAGAGGCAUGAUUAUGAAUACAAUCAACAGACAUACAUAUUUCAUUUAUUCAAAUAAUGGAGCAUGAAGUCGAGGAGUGAGAAGGACUUGAAGCGGAGUGGCCUUAAGGUUAGUCAACCCCACUCCCUCACUCAUGUCAAGUGGUUCAUCCCCUGGAGUUGCAAAUUCAAAUCCAUGCAACAAACUAGCGAGUGUUAGUAGCAAGACUUGAAGGGCAAAAGAGAUUCCAGGGCACCCUCUUCUUCCGGAGCCAAAGGGUAUCAAUUCAAAAUUUUGUCCCCUAACAUCAAUAUCUUUGUGCGUUGUCAGAAACCUUUCUGGUCGAAACUCAUUAGGCUUUUCCCACACAUUUGGAUCUCGUUGAAUCUUUGGAAUAUUAACAAACAGACGUGUGCCGGCAGGCACAUGAUAGCCGGCUAUGGUGCAGUCUUCGAUGGAUUCAUGUGGUACAGAGAGGGGCGUGGCAGGAUAUAAGCGAAGAGUUUCCUUUACUACAGCUUGCAAGUAAACUAAUUUUUUUGUAUCAGAUUCAUUCACUUGUCUUUCUCUACCAAUAUGGGUAUCUAGUUCGUCUUGGACUUUCUUCAAAACGUCACCGUGGUUGAGUACUAAAGUCAGAGCCCAUGUCAAUGUGACCAUGGUGGUGUCCGUACCCCCCAAUAUAAGGGCCUGCAUGCAAAAGAAGGAACGUAACCAUACCCGGCCCCAAGCCGAAGUCACUAAGAUUAUCGUGAAUCCAAAUAAAAUAAAAAAUAUAUAUAUAAAUACAACUUAAUCAAUGUGACUAAUUAUUAAUUAAUGUGUGUUUUGGGGAUGUAUUUACUUACUUGAGUGAUAUGUGUUUAUUUAUGAGUAAGAGUGAAAAUCUCACUCCAUGAGUCCCACGUAUUUUUGGAGUGAGAAGUGAGAUUCCCACUCCCAUGGGGGCUGGUGGAAGUGGGAAUCCACUCCUCUCUAUUUCUUUUUUACUAUUUCCUUUAAAUAUAACAUAAUUAUACCCAUUAAACUAAAAUAAUAUUACAUUUAUUUAAAAAUAAUAACAUCAUAUUAUUUAAAAAUAAUAUUAUUAUAUUAUUUAAUAAAUUACAUUUAUUUAUUUACAUUAUUUGUCUAUAUUAUUAAAGUUUCAUUUGUGUUGCUUUUAUCAAUAAUUUUUAAUUUACAUACUUAAAAUUAAAAUUAAUAAAAAAUGUAAUUUACAUAAUUAAGAAUAUUAAUAACAAUUAUUAACUUAUAUGAUUAAAUUUAAUAAUAAAAUAAAUAGUUUAUUUUUGAAAAUAUAUUUUUCAUUCACUUUGUAAUUAAGAACUACAAUUCUGUAUAUAAGUGUAAAACUAUAAAUUAAAACAAUUCACUCCUAAUCUAAAACAAAAAUAAACACAUAAAUGAGAUUUUUAUUUCUAUUCUUCACUCCUAUUUCAGUGUAUGUAAAUAACUUACUCUCUCUUCAAUUCUAUACUAUCAAUCCCAAGAUCUUCAAUCCUCAAGAUUUUUAAUCUAAUCACAAAAGUAAAUGCUACCUCAACAUAAUCUAAUAUUGAAUAAUUGGAAAAAAAAUUAGCGAAAACCUUUUUAUAAUAAAUGUUGUAAAAUCUUAUAUAACAUUGUCAAUGUGCGCGUCUACACGACUCUAUAGAUGUAGAAUUUCUUAGGUGUAUUUAUAUAAUUGUGUUUUAUUAAGAGAUCUCUUAGUGCAUUUUUGGGAGUUAGGAUUAAAUAUGGAAUUAGAUUAACUUUUAGAUUAAAUAUUUUAUUCUAUAUUUGGCUACUUUGUUUGGAUUGGAUUAAGGAGGACUAAAUUUAAAUUUAUUCCUCAAAUCAAGGGAUUAACAAUCCCAAUUUAUAAGUGGGUUUAGAUGGGAUUAGAAUAAGAGAAAAAAUUUAUUCAUAUUUCUUUCAUAGAUAUUAUUAUUUUUUAUUUGUAACCUAAAAUUUAAUUACUUAAUUAAUUAUUUUAUUCAUGAUUAACUUGAAUUUAUUUUUUAUUUUGUUUUUAUAGUCUAAUUAAAUUGGUACUUUUACUCCAAUAAAAUUAACUAUUUAAUAAUUUGUUACAAUAAUUGAUUGUAUUAAAUUUAAUAAUCACCAAUGUAAUAUUAAAAAUAAUCAUGGAAAUUAAUAAUACAAGUAAAUAAUUGAUUUUAUAUGUACAUUAUUUGCUAAAUUUUUGAUAAAAUAAAAUAUAUAUCUAAAAUAUCUGAUAAAAAUUAAUUAAAUAAUUAAAUAGUUUUAUUAAUUUAUAUUUGUUUACUAUAGUUAUAACUGCCCAAUAACUAAUUUACUACAUAUUUAAUGCUCUUGUUAAUUACCUUUAAAUUAAUUUUAAUUAUUACUCUUAAAUAUUCAUAAAUAUUUUUUUGUAUUUAAAUAUGAUUUAACAUUGUCCAAUCCGAUAUUGUACCAAAUAUAGUACAAUAUAUAAUAUAAUCCAGCUUAAUCUAAUCCAACUUAAUUUAAUCCAAUCCAAUCUUAUGUGCUAAACAUAACUUGAAGUUAUUAAAGUUAGGGAUAAAUUAAAAGACAAGAUAAACAUAUAUUCUAAUACACUACAUGACAAAAUACACAGUAUUAAAAUAUGUAUUUUGCUUGUCAUUAGUUUAUUCCCUUGCUGAAUAAUUUUUUAAUCAUGAAUCUGUAACCAAAUUAAGGUCAGAGAAGAGUUAAAGAGACAAAAAAACACAGACUCCAAUGCAGUGCACUUUGUCCUGUAAUAUAUUGAAAUCUGUAUUUUUUAAUGUUUUAUCUUAUCUCUAACUUUAAUAUCAUCAAAGAUCCUUGAUUGGAAACUCACUCUCUCAUAUAUAUAUAUAUAUAUAUUUCUCUAGUGAGGGUUAGGAUGCUGCUAACAAAAAAAAAAAGCCACCUAUUUCAAUACACUAACAGAUAAAAAAAACACAAUUUUUAAUAUAUUGAAAUCUAUAUUUUUUAUAUAUUAUAUAUAUAUAAUAUAAUAAUUUUACAAUAAAAGAUCCCUUCAGUUAUUAAGUUAAGGAAUAAGUUAGAAGACUAAAAAAAAUAUACAAUUCAAUAGAUUACAAAAUAAAGUAUGUUGUAUUACUAUUUAUCUUUCAAUUUAUCCCUUAACUUAAUAAUUUAAGAGAUUUCUUAUUAGGUUAUAUUUAUAUACCAUAGUAAUUUAGGUGCAGAUGCCAAAAUAUAUAUUUUGUGUGGAUUCGCGAUAACACCAUAUAUCGUGUUAAUAAUAUAAUACUCACUAUUAAUAAUUGUGACUAAUUAAAUAAUUUUGAUUAAAAUUAAGGUGCAUACCAGGCACGUUGCUUUGGUGAUCGUAUCGGCAUCAAAACUAGGGAUCUCUUCAUCAGCUUCGGUAAGAACGGAUAUCAUCACGUCCAUGAAGUCAUUCUCAUCCUUGAUCACCUGAUCAUCGCUUGAAAUCCUCUUCUGCUUAUGAUCUUUUAACCAGCCUUCAAGAAUUUGGUCAAGCUCUUUCGCUGUCCUCCCCAUGCUCUUCUCACAUCCAUCUAAAUCCAACCACCUCAAAAAUGGAACGGCAUCAGCAAUUGCAAAACCCCCAGUUAAUUCCGAAAAUUUUCUUAUUGCCUUUCGACACCGAUCAUUCUCUUCAUCAAUCUCUUGAUGAUUUGUUUUACCAGUCCCUCCCACGAAUAAUCUUUUCCCCACAACCAUUCUUGUAGCGACAUUUAAGGUCACUGCGUUAAAUCUUUCCUUCAUCUCAACCAAGGCCUUGCCUGAACCAUCACUGUGCUUCAUCCAUUCAUCAUAUAGUUCUUUCAUGGACGUUCUUACCUCAGAUUCUCGGACAUGUUUCAGCAUUUCCAGGCGGUGAUUUGAGAGAACCUCCAGUGUGGCAAUCUUGCGGAUUUGGCGCCAGUAAGGACCGUAAGGGCUGAAGCCAAACAUGGCGUAGUUGUAGCCCAAGAUCUCUGGUGCUAGAGCUUUUAUGCGGUUGGAAAAAACUUUAUCAUUUGUAGUGAAGCACUCUUUAGCAAUCUCCCAGUUGCUAACAAUCAAAGCUCUAUGCAUACCCAGCUUGAUCAUGAAGAUCGGACCGCACUUUUCGGCGAUGUUGCCCAAGGUGACAUAAGCUGGUUUUUGGCCCCCUAACAGGUGGAGGUGACCAAUCAAAGGCCAUGCACCACCAGGCUCCGGCACCGGUUUCUUGUCGAUUGAGUUUCUGUGCCGUCUUGAUAACCAUAGUAGAGAGUAAACAAGCAAAAACAAAGUGAAAAAGCCAGUAAUAAAAACAGUUGGUGUGAAAGGAACAUGAGUACCGUCCAUUAACCAAACUUUCUCCGAGGUUCCAAGUGGUAGAAGGAAAGUUGGAUCAAAUAAAUACAUGAGCUGUAAACCCGAUUCAAGGAUAAUUAUAUCGGUGUCUCUGGGAUAGUAAACAUAACCUAAUGGAAAAAGCUAUUUAAUUGCACAUGAUAUUUGCACACAAAAUUGGACUUGGCAAAUUGAACGAGGAAACUUGUGCACAAAAUCAAAAUUGAUAAAGUGAGUAAGUUUAUUUUUAGAUGUAAUUAAUCCCAUCUCAUCAAAUUGAUAUUGAGAAACAAAAACCUGUCUUUGUCCACACCAUAAGAAUAUGUGGAGACGAAGGCAAGAGAGUGGCUUAGCGCGCACACGCUAAUUGGUCCUAGCCAUACACAAGGGAUAAGAUUUUCAUCAUCCACGCAGUCUAGCUAGCAUGCUUAUCUCUUGCUGCAUUAGUUUGUCUCUUUUCUAGUUUCUACCACACCAUUAACGCUCGCUACCAAUGAUGUAUGUCUUCUUCAUUCUAAGAUUCAAUAUUAGCAUCAAUAUUUGGGUAACAAUAAAUAAAUAAUUAAGCUAAAAAAAGCCAAUAUGUUUAUUUUUAUAGUAAGAUGUUUCUUGUCAUUAGUUGUCAUUUGUAAAUUUUGUGUGUAAUGUCAUAUACAAAUAGCAUUAUUCUACCCUAAUUUAGAAGAAGCAAUGAUAUUUAAUUAUAUAUAUAUAUAUAUAUAUGGAGACAGAGAGAGACACACACGAUAUGAUAGAACAUACUCANNNNNNNNNNNNNNNNNNNNNNNNNNNNNNNNNNNNNNNNNNNNNNNNNNAUGUAUGUAUAGGGAGACAGAGAGAGACACACACCCGAUAUGAUAGAACAUUGACAGGCUUGCUUUACAUUUGUUUUUGUCAACUUUCUAUCAGCCUUUGAUUUCUUUAAUAUUUUUCAUUCAAAAGAUGUCCCGGCGUAGUGAGAAGAUCGAUCUAAAAUUAAAAAAUAAAAAUUCUCGAUAUUUGUAGAAAUUAAUCAUUUAUCUAUUCAUGUUUAACAGUCCAUCAAAAUCCCCCAUAUUGUUAAAAAAAAAUUAUAUAUGUUAAGCCUCGACUUUGUUUUUAUCUUCUUUUUUAUUUUAUACAAAAGAUACAAAACAUUGACAUAUUUUUUUUUUUUUUGGGGAAUAUGAGAAAAAAAUGAUUAUUUUUUUUACUGAAUCAACUGAGGAUUACAAAAACGAUAGUCAACAACCCGCAUGAUAAUAAUAUUAUAUCUUAUCUAUUCCCAAUGAUUAUAGGCUAGUUUCUAAUUUUUUUUUUGGAGCCUCUAAGUUACAAUAAUUGUAACAUACAUCCCUCAUGUGAACCACACAAAAUUGUAGGACCCACAAUUUGUGUGGUUCACAUGAGAAAUGUAUGUUACAAUUAUUAUAACUUAGCAUUUGCCUUUUUUUUUUUAUCUCCUUAAUAUCAUCUGUGUAGAUUACUUUCACGUUAUGAGUUAGAACCUAAGCAAUAGCUGAAUUUCAUUUGGCUUUAUUUCGUAUUAUUGGUUUUUGGCACCUCAGUCAUCAAGUUGUAUUUUGAUAAGUAGGGGUGGCGAAAAAACCAUUGUCUUAAAAAAAAUCAAAUUCGGGUUAGUCCGAUUAUAAAAAAUAGAAAAAACCAAUUAAUGUAUAUAAAAAAUCAAAAAUAAAAAAAUGCAAAAAAAUUACCAUUUUAAAUUAAAAAAUCGAAUCAAAUCAAACAUUGAACAAAAGCCAAACUAAUAUAAUUCCAUUGAUUUUUUGCCCAUCCCUACCGAUAAGAAUUGCUUAAUUUAUUGAGCAAAGAUAUAUGAAAAGAUCCCGAGAUUACCAGCUUGACCCAGAGGCAUCUUUUCUAUUUUAAAAUAACAUUGUGAAUGAAGAAGGUGUAAUUCAUUAGGCAAAGCUUUAUAAAAAAAGUAAAUAAUAAAUGGUGUAGGUGCCUCCAAACAAUUGAUUUCUAUUUGUUAUAUUCUCUUUAAAAACUGGUCAUCCGGAGCCAGCAAUAAGCUCAUUGCACAUGAGACGAGUGAGAAAAAUCAGUAGAAAUUUAUAAACAUACGAGUCUUUAUUUAGAGAAAUGGUAGGAAGGGUCAGUCUCCGACUUUUUGUCUUUUAACAGAAUAACAAAUUUUAUUUUAGGAUCACAAGUAAGUCCCACCUAAAAACUCAUCAAACUUAAUAUUAAGAAAUAGUUGUGAAGCCCAUUACUCACCAAAUGCUGAGGUCAAAAUUUUUUCCUUCACUAUUGAUACUAUUAUUAUUCCCUGAUACUGAAGAAAUAUUAAAAUAAAUGAUUGAUUUGAAACUUUAUUGCAUGCGUGGCAGGUCGUUUCAAACUAGGAGGUUUGUAUUUAACUAUCUGCAGUAACUAAUAAUGGGAGACUAGACAAAAUAAAAAAGAUUACAGAUCCAUAAUUAAUUAAUUACUUUACAUAACAGAUUAAAAUAAGACCGAUUUAUAUAUUCAUUUCUAAUUAACCAUUAUAUUACUAUGCACCAAAAGUCCGGCGCGGCUAUAUUUUUUAUAGUUUUUGGAGAGUGAAACUGGAAUCGGAAAAUAAUUUCAACCCAAUCAGAAUUAAUAUACUUGAUUUGCAUGGAAGAGAUGCAAUUAAUGCCACAAUAGUCAAACUUGUGCAGCACUAAAAAAUCUAAUUUUUAUAACCAUCAUGAGAUUACAACUGCAACACAGCCAUUUUUUUUUAAUUUUUUAAAAGAUUAAUUUCAAGAUUCUCAUUUGACAUAUCAAUGACAUAAUGACACCUUUUGAAAACAAAAAUUAACGAACCUCCGCUAGCAAGAUAAUAUAUUAUAUUAAAAAAGGAGAACACCUAAUGAGGGUAUAUAAUGAACUUCUCCCUCAAAAUCGUUAAAAAUUUGAAAUAAUAAACAAUGAAAAAAGGAACAGCCAUCUAAGCAAGAUGGCUUACGAGAAAUGAUAAUAAGGAAAUCCAUAAAUAUCACAAGAGCGGGCUCGGGCCAAGGUUCAAAUUUCCACCAAUUGAGCGAAGAGUGGUGAUAUAUUAUAUUCGGCCUGAUUCAUAUUAAAAAGUAUAUAUUUUAUAAUAAUAAAAUUAUUAAAUUUUUAUUUUUAGUAUUAAUUAAUACGGUUAUUUUUAAAUUAUUUUAAUAUUUUUUUAAUAAAUUUUUAUGUUAAAUUAAUUUAUAACAUGUUAAUAUUUCAGAAAUAAAGAGAGAAUUAAAACUGAAAGUAGAAAUAAAAAAGAAUUGUUAGAACCAUAUGAGAUGCAUUUUUAAAAAAAUGUAAUUACUAAAAGAUAAAUAAAUAAAGAAAGAAAGAAAAGUGAGCUAUGUAUCAUGAUAGUCAAGUGGGCACUUUGCCACUUGACUGGCACACAUUUCUAUGUAAGUAGAUAAACAAUAAAAAUAUAAAUAAUAAUAAAAUAAAAGAAAAUGAUAUGUUUGUUUUGUUGCCUAUAAAAGGCGAGGACAGGAAGAAUGAGUGGGACGUGCGGAUAAGAGGAGAAAGGCGUUGAGACUGACGUUUAAGAAAAAUGUUUUUUUCAUCUGGCUAAUUCUCUUGUAAUAUAUUUUAGAACUUUGUUAAAUAAAAUAAGUGUUGUGUUUAUUAAUAUGAGUGGUUAAAUUUUUUCAAAUGAGGUAAAAGGUGAAACUCAAGAAUUUAAAUUAUUGAAUUAAUUAUUUUCUUAAGUGAGUUUUAAAAUUUAUUUUAUUUGUUUAUAUUUUUUCUUUAUCGGUUUAUUUUAUAUCAUGUUAAUUUAUAGAUCUAGAUCUCCUAUUAUUUAUAUAGUAUUAUGACAUAAUGUCAAACACUCUAAUAUAAUUGUGGCACAUUAGAUACUUGAUUCCAUAUUUAUCCAUACAAACAGUUAGUUAAAGAUUAAAUGGCAUAAUAAUUAACUGGUAAAAUGAACACAAAAUAUAAAUAUGAGAGGAUAUUAGGAUAAUAAUUUGACAACUGAGAGUGGAUUCUAUAACCUUAGUAUCUUUCUUCAAAUUGAUCCCUAUUAAUUUCCUUUUUCUAUAAUCAAUUUUUGUGUAAUAAUUGACUACUAAAUUUUUAAAUUUCUUUUGAUUUAACUCCGUAUUUACCGAAUUAUAUUAUAAUUAAAUACUCUUAUACUUGAAAGUAAAUAACACUUUUAAGUCCUCUAAUGUCCCUCCCAGAUUAUCUCAUCAGUCCUUACUUUCAUAUUUAUCUCAUCUAUUUCUUACAUUAUCCUUAUAAAAAAAUAUUUUUUUUUAAUAUUUUUUUUACCCUCUCUCAAGCAUCACCAUCAUCCCUUCCACCAAUCUUCAUCACCAAAUUCACUGUCCAUGCUGAGAAAUAUAAUUAUAAAAACAAUGUUUUUAAUUGAAAUCAAAAUCAAAAAAUCAAAUUAAGAUUCCAAAAUAAUUGAAUCCAUGGAAAUCAAUUUGCAACUAAGACAUUGUAAUUAUCUGAAUUGAAUUUUCAACUAAUUAUCUUGAUUUUGGCAAGUGAUUUCUUUUAAAAGUCUUUUGCGCUUUUCUUAAUAAAGUGUGACGUUUGAUCACCAUUAAUGUUCACUUGUGAACUACUUUAAUUGAUCCCCUCAGUAUUAGAAGCUAAAUAACAAGGGAAGUAAUUAAGAGGGAUAAAAUUCUGAAAUUUCGUAAAAUUUCACAAUCUUUCAUGGUUAUUUGGGGUGUCUAAUUGUAAAGGCAAUCAAAAUAUGCGUUAUGGCUGAAAGUAGAUUUCUGCAGGGCUAGCUAAUCAUUGCGUGCCUGGAAAAGUCUAAAGUUCUGCUAUACUGGAAGAAAAAUACUUGGCAUGAUUGUCCUACAUUUAAUAAACGUUUUGUGAAUUUGAUGCAGAACUCCAUUCGGCUGCAUAACCUUAGGCGAUCAGUUGAUUCAUGUUCUUAAAUUUUUGUUAAUGGUAAAAUGUAUUUCAAAACCAGAGAAAAUGAGGAUGACUCCUGUUAUCUAUAGAAAUAAAGUGAAACCUCAAUGUUAACUUUAUAUAUCAUCUACUAUUCUAUUUUACUCUUGAUAUUAACAUAAAAUUUAAAUAUUUUGAAUGAAAUAAAAUGACAUAUAAAUUUAAUGACUAAAUUAAUUUAAUAAUAAAUUAUAAAGCAUGGAGAAAAAUUAGCUAACAUAAUGUUUGGCAUGAAGUUAAUAGAAAGUACAGUGACGAAGUGAAUACCCGCUGCUACAGGAACGUCAUAAAGGUUUUCUGUCUUAAGCCUUUCGUCUUCUUCGUCACCGACAAUUUGUGGCAGGCUUCCACAUUUUUCUCCAGUCCCACCUUUUAUUUUUGAAAAAAUCACAGACUGAGUGUUAAGAAGAUAGGCUUGGUAAAAUUUGGGUCUGGUCUCGGUUUUGGUGAUGCCUGGGAUUGGACUGGAUGAGUGAAAUGUAAGACCGAACUCGGGUUAAAAUUCGGUUUUUUUGGGUGCGGUCUGGGCUCGAGCUCGGCACCUUCCGGGUCCGGGUUUUGAUUCAGGCUUCUAAACCCGCAUGUGAUAACUUUAAUUUUUUUUCUUUAAUUUUUUCUCCAUUUCUCUAACAAUACAAAUUAUAAAAAAAGAAAAUAAUCAAAUAAACUCAUUCAAUCUCAUGCUUUAAAAAAGAAAAUAGUCAAAUACAAAUAUAUAACAUACUAACAAUGUAAAUUUUGCACAAAUGAUCAAUAAAAAUUAUUUCAAUCUACUUUCUAAUAUCUAAAUUCAUCAAAUUUCUAACUUAAACUCAUUCUAUCUAUAUAUAAAAAAAAUUAAAUUAAAUUCAACAACAUAAUAAUCACACAAUAAAUUUAAAUAACAUCCCGCAUAUCAUAAAUUCAUAAUUAUAUAUUUAUAUAUAAUAUAUUUAUAUUUUCUUUUUUUUUUAAUUUAUUCUGCUNNNNNNNNNNNNNNNNNNNNNNNNNNNNNNNNNNNNNNNNNNNNNNNNNNNNNNAGCAGAUAAAAUCUAGGAGGGGCUGAUCAUUUGAAAAAGGUGAGUUAUUUUUAUAUUUUUAAUUAUUAAUUGUAAUAUUAAAAUAUGGGCUAUUUUUAAAAAAAACAUUUGGUUUCCGUUAUAUUUUUUACACGAGUUUACGGGGUUAAAAAUUUGAAAUUUGUGUUUGUUCUUUGUUAUUUUUUAUUUUUUAUCAGGGAAAAAGUCCUUUUUAUCCCUAAAAUUUCAUAUAAUAGCUCAUUUCAUCCUCACUUUUUAAAUAACAGCAUAAAACAUCAUUCCGCUAACUCAUUGUUAGUUUAAUGCGUUAACUAGUAAUUCAUUGAGGGCAAAAUAUGAUUUUUUUAAUUAAAGUGGUACAAACUAUAUUAAAAUAAUUUUUUUACACAAUUAAAUAACACUACAAAAUAUGUAAAAUUCAUUAAUUUUUUCUUAAAUGAAAUCAACGAUGAAAUAGUUUGAUAAAGCCACUGAAUAAUCGUCAUAAUCAACAAAUUGUAAUUAGCACAAUAUCUUUAAAUCAUUAGAAGAAAAACUAAAAAAUACAACCAAAUUUUAUGUGCCUGCAUGUGCUGAAAAUCUUCUUAAUCUUCAACCAAUUUUUAUCUUGAGUUUUGCCACCACUCUUCUUUGACCAUUAUUGUCUCCCCAAGUCCUUACCAUUGUCUCCCUAAGUCAGAUCACAGUGCAAUUAGAGAGUAUACUUAUAUGAAUAUGAAAAUUAUGAUUAUUUUUUGUACUUAAAUCUAGGGUUUAAAAGUCUUUCAUAUCACCAAAAUAGAGAGAAGUGCAAAAUAAUUGUUUGAAAUAGACUUUUUCAUCUUUUUCAGUAUUUCCUGUUUAGUGAAAUUAGAUAAACAUCGAUUUUAAUUAUAUGUCAACUUUUAUUUAUUUUUUCUAAUUUUCUCUUUAAUGGAAAAUUCGUUUUACCCUAAAUGAAUAACUAACAAACGGCAUUUAAUUAACAGUGAGUUAAUAGAAGAAUUUUUUGAGUUAUUGUUAAAAAGUAGAAAUGAAAUAGACUAUUGCAUAAAACCCUAGGGAUGAGAAGGGUUUUUUCCCUUUUUUAUCAUAAUGUAUGUGAAAGGUUGCUAAAUGUGGUCUGAUUUUAUUAGUAUAGUGAUUUUGAACAAAAUAGAAUUUUGAAACUUAUGUUCAAAUUUAUUUUAUUUGAGGUAUUUUUUCAAUAACGAUGCUAAUUAUGUUAUAUAAAAAUAAAAUUAAAAAAGAUAAUAAUGAUGCUAGUGUCCAUUGUUACUAUGCUCAAUGUCAAACAAGGAUGUUUUUGUAAAUUUGGUUGCUAAUUUUCAUCCAUAACAUACAAUUUAUUAUUGAAUUAAUUUAAUAUUUAAGGGUAUAUAAGUCAUUUUACUUUAUUUUGGUUCUUAAAAUAUUUAAAUUUUAUGCCUAACAUCAAGUUAGGGAUAGAAUAGUAAAAUGAUAUGCUAAGUUAACACCAUUAUAACUACAAGAAGGUUCGGACCUAUUUUAAAAUAUAAGGGAGGUUUUGCUCAAUUUCGCUAAUCAAUAGGGAUGUAAUCCUCAAUUUUCUGUCAAAACCAUAAGAUAUUAUAAGCUAAUUAGAAGAAACUUAAAUCUACUAAUUGAUAUAUUAUUGGCCCUUUGAGGGUCCAACACCUCUCAAAUAUAGCUCAUGUAAUUACCAUAAUAAUAUUCAACAUUUUUUGUAACACCCCAAAUCUAACACAUGCGGAGCACGUGAAGGAGGUUACUCACAAAUCAUAAUCUUUACUCAUAAGUUUCAAACGGAAAUACCUCCAAUUCUUAUUCAAAUAAAUCCACAAAUUCAAACGUCUAAUACUAAAUAAUCUCUCCCGAGGACAUAAAAAUAAUAACAAAAGUCUCAAACUCCAAAUUACACGUUCAUAAUAGAAAUAACUAAAUAGAAACACGAGUUUAUUCCUCCUCUUAUUCAAAUGGCAAACGGAAACGGAAAAUUACUAACUCCAAAGAUAAGCGCACCUCUCAAAAGAAACUUAAUCUGUAAAAAGUAAUGACGAGGGGUGAGCCGUCAACUCGGUCAUGUAAUUAUUGGUGAAUAAAAAUAAAAAAACAACUAAAAAUAAAGAAAUGAACAAAAUUAUAAUAAUAAUAAUCCAAAAACCGAUCUAGAGUCAAUUGAUCAGUGUAUGUUUGAUUCGGAUUCAGAUUUAUUUUAGGUUAUAAUUUUUUUUAUUCUCUUAAAAUCAACAACGAACUGAAAUCAUCAACGAACUGAUUCGACGAUCACUUUUAAUUUCACCUAAAUACGAUACGUGAUGUUGGGUCAUUCAUCUCGUACUUAGUAAUUCUGAAAUAUUUUAAGUUUUUUUUAAGUUUUAUUAAUUAUUUUGUACUUGUGUAUUUUAUGAAUAUUUUUACUGAUUGUUUUAACACAUAAUGUAAUGUAAAUGGUUCAUGAUUGAUACCUAUAAGUAAAAAGAUGCUUCUAGAGCAAGACAUACAAAAAUGGUGGUAGGGUAGUUUUCCUCACCAUUGUGUAAUCACACCCAUCUACUAAGGUCAAUUAUUAAAUUUAUAUUAACUUGUUAAAGUAGUUCUAGUGGCUAAACGCGAUCAACACAAGAAAACCGCCACCCUUUGAGCAGGGCCGGCUUUAGAGUGUUUGGGGCCUUAGGCGAAAUUUUUUUAUGAGGCCUCUAUUUGUUUUGCAAUUUCAAUACUUAAAGAAAUAAAAAAAAGGCUCAAAAUUUAUUUCAUUUGUAAUUCUUGAUUUUAAAAAUAAAACCUUUAAAAAACAAGUUAAGAAGACAUUUUUUAUUCCAUUAAAGCUAUUACAAAAUAAACAAUCAAAUUAAUACGAAUAAUAUUAUUUUCAAAUAGUAUAUUUAGAAUGAUAGAAUAUAAAAAGUUGAGAUGAUAAAUUAAUGAUCAGAUAAUAGAAAUGGACUUUGUAAUUCUAUAAAUUGAUUUUUUUUUUAAAUGAACCAAUGAAUAUAAUAUUUUUCUUUCUAGAGAAGUGAGGAAGAAAUUUUUUUAUUUACUGAUUUUUGAGAUUACAAAGUUUUUAAUGGAAAUUAAAAGAAAUAGUAAAAGUCAAAUAUUCUAACAUUAAAUAAUUAAUUUUUUUGAGGAAAUUGAAAAGAUAAUUAAUUUAAUUUUUUUGAAAGACUAAUAAUGAAUGAAUUAAUGAUUAAAUAAUAUUAUUAGUUAUAUCUAUUUAACAUUAAUGUUAUCAAAUAUAGAUUUUUCAUAAAAAAUAAUUCUUAACUGUAGGAUAAUUAAUAAUUAGAGAGAUAUUAAUAAGCUUUUUGAUUUCCUAAAAUACGUAAUUUAAAAAAAUGAGAAUUAUCAAAGAAAUUUAAAAAAUGUGGCCUUAACAAAAUAUGGGGCCUUAGGCGACCGCCUUGUUCGCCUAUACCUAAAGCCACCCCUGUCCAUAUGUGUGAGAGCACACGGGAAUCACUAUUUUAAUUUAAAAUUGUCCCGAACUAAACAUAUUAUAAAAAUAUUGAAAAAAUAACACUUGAAACCACUAAUUUUUUUUCAAAAUGGACAGUUAGUCCCCAUCAUUUUAUAAAUAGACAACUUAAAUUUUCACUAGUUCAGAAAUGAUUAUCAAGAUCUCUUCUCAGAAUCUGCCACCGUUGGAGCCAAUGAAACAAAUGACUGACCCAUCAUAUCAACCAAAGAAAUAGAAAAUACCAAAAAGUUCGAAUUCACAGCUAAUAACAUUGAUUCAAUUAACAUUGACAUAAUCGGAAUAUUUCGUCUAUUAAGGAGGAUUCCCCGAAUACCUAAAAUAGAGAUAAUCAUAGAAAAUAUGAAAUAUUUGAUAGGAUCUAUUUUCAGAACGUGCAAUGUAAGAGAAAUUUAAAUGUUAUAACUUUAGUACCUCACGACAUAGCAAAUACAACUCCCUGCGCUCCAGGGUUAUAAUGACUUCCGAAACAGCUUUUGUGAUAGCAUUUAUCUCUUUGUUUUUUUGGGGUUAUUAGGGAUUUUUUUUUAAUUAUUUAAAUGGAGAUAUAAACAUUAUAUAUAGUAUAUCUUUGCGAACAUUUUGGUAUGUAAAUCUUGAUAGACAUUGUUUUUUGUAGCAUGUAGAUCUAGCUAGACAUUACUUUCACAUCGAUAUUGGUGGUAUUGUAGUAGAUCAAUGUCAUUUUUCUGGGUCAACUAGACAAAAUGCAGUAAUGGAAGCUAUAUAUCUAAUUCUAAAGGGUGGGUUCUAGCCAUAUCUCCAUUUGGGUAAGCCUUAGGAUUUGGACGUGUUUUUCGUAAUCCUAUGACAAAUGUGACAGUUAUCUUUCCUUAGUUUGUACCUUUCCUUACUUUCAAAUAUCAACGAAAGACCAUGCUAACGUUUGUCAUGGUCAUCCAUGAAUUGACUGCCAAUGAAAAUUAAACCCAUAAGUUUUUAAUUUAGUAAUUGUGUAAAGGUAUAAUUUAAUUUUUUUGAUUUAUUAUUAUUUAUUAAUCAAUAAUCGUCCAUGUGAAUUUUUACUCACAACUCACGAGAAGUUCAAAUGAUGAUCCAUUUAAAAGUUGUUGGAUUUUAACAUUUUCUAAGUUUCUUUGGAAUAGUAAAUGGUAUUUUUUCUCUUCUUCCAAUUCAAAAAUCGUAUACACAGCCUUAACGUUUAGACAACAAUGCAGUCUCAGAGCAAGCAAUAAAAGUUUAACCAUUAAUUACACUGCAUAAAUUUCCCUUCUUCAGCUAAACCACUUGCACUUUGAUCAAUUAACCUCUUAUCUUAUAAAAUAUUCUAGUACAUGUACUUAAUACUAAAUUCCCUUUUCUCGUUACUUUUCUUUAAUUUCUUAGCAACAAUUUCAAAAAAAAAAAAAAAAUCAUCGAGGACUCAACAAGCGACAAAAAGUUUUUAAUAUUUAUUAUAAUAUUUAUUUUUUAACAAUUUAUUAAAAUUCCAGGGAAUCAUUUCUUGGGCGCUAAAAUUUUGUUCACCAGCGGGUCUUCCACGAAGUGACACUUCUUCCAAUCAAAAGUUCCGAUAGCUAAACACUUUGUUACACAAUUUUAAAUUCAUCAACCAGCUUGUAACACCCCAAAUCUAACACAUGCGGAGCACGUGAAGGAGGUUACUCACAAAUCAUAAUCUUUACUCAUAAGUUUCAAACUGAAAUACCUCCAAUUCUUAUUCAAAUAAAUCCACAAAUUCAAACGUCUAAUACUAAAUAAUCUCUCCCGAGGACAUAAAAAUAAUAACAAAAGUCUCAAACUCCAAAUUACACGUUCAUAAUAGAAAUAACUAAAUAGAAACACGAGUUUAUUCCUCCUCUUAUUCAAAUGGCAAACGGAAACGGAAAAUUACUAACUCCAAAGAUAAGCGCACCUCUCAAAAGAAACUUAAUCUGUAAAAAGUAAUGACGAGGGGUGAGCCGUCAACUCGGUAAGUAAAACCAUUCUUAACACACUAUGCCUAUCGAUAUUGCAAGCCUUCUUUUAUUUAAAAAAUCUAUUGUAAUUCAUAAAUUUCAUAAAACGAUAUAUCACGAUAACAUAACGUAAAUUCUUAAUAAUUCAGAAUAUCCAAAAGUAUAUUUACUUACGAAGCAAAUCAUAUAAUACGUAUACAGAAAACAAAAGGUUAGCCAUGUCACAUAGUGUCACCUAUAGUCCCGGUGACCCGGCCAGAAACAGAAUCAGAAUAUCGUGUGCACACUCAUAACAGAAAACCCAGUACAGGUCCAGAACAGACAUAUAUCGUAUUAUACGAUCAGAAUCAGAAUCAGAAUAACUACGGACAAUGAGCCAAAACAUAAUGACUUAUACGUGGCACUUUGCACUAUAUGUGGCACUUUGCGACGCUUUGGCCUUCAAGAGGUGGCCCCCAUAUCAUCAAUAAUCGAAAUCAUACAUGGGUACAAAAUAUUUGUAUCAGAUUUAUAAAAGUUCAUAACAAUAAUUUAGGCUUGCUUAACAUUUUAAAGAUAAAAUCAUAAAAAGUUGUCAUGUCAUAAAAUCAUAAAAGGUUGUCAUGUCAUAAAAUCAUUUACAUAUUAAAAAGCAUUUAUAAAAUACUUUGUUAAAAAGAAUUUAGGUUUGAAAACAUUUACAUAAAACUAAUUUUGUUAUCAAAAUCAAUUAAUCCUUUAAGUAGUAUAAAAACAUUUAUACUUAUAAUAAUAAUAUCAAAAUACUUAUACAUAUCCAGUAUAUUAGGAAUGAAGUUACUUACCUCGACAAAUGAAUUUGAAUUAACACACCUCUAAGCUUCUAAGAGCCUCAAUCACCUUCAACACCUUAAACAAAUACAAGAUAUGACAAUUAAUAACUUAUUCUAAGAAUCUGAUUUUCUAAUUCAUACCCGUACAGGUCUGAUUCUCAGAAUUUAACUCUUAAUCUAAAACUCAGAAUGAUAUAAUAUUCUAUAGAACUAUUCUGGACAUCCAUGAGUACCCCAUGUAAAAUUUGCAAGAGGAUCCGAUAUCAAAAACAUUUUCAAAACUCGAAACUGUUUUCACAUAAUCUAAACCAAACAGAACGGGUUCUGUGAUUUUUAUAAAAUAAAAUACUAUUCAUAAAAUUAUGAAAUUAAAACUGGGAAUUCUAGAUACAUAUAUUAACCUACAUAUAAACUUUCAGAAUUUUCCGAGUUCAUUUGGUGGUACAAAUAGUCUUGUGAAUCCGAUCGCAAUGCUGGAAUCGCAGUUUUCCAGUGCAGUGGUUUCUAUUUCGAAAAUAGAUAUACAAUUGAAAACGAAGUCGAAUUUAAUGAAAUAAAAUUUACUCAAGAAGCCCUACAUGUCUAGUUUCCAGAAAUAUAAAUUUUAUAAGAAAACUCAUUCAGAAAAUAUAGGUUUAAAUUCGAGAUACUCAUACUGUCCAGAAUUAUCCUGUGCUUAAUAUGUCAAGGAUUGAUUAACUAAACUCAUAAUAAAUCAAAACCCUAAACAACGCCUAAAUACAUUCUAAAUCAUGCAUUAUGAUCUAUAACCAUCUAGAAUCAUGCCAAUAUAAACCCUAGAUAGAGUGAUUAGAAAUCUGUUGAGAAUAUGGAGAAUAACUUACCCGUCACUUUGAUUCUCUCCUAAACAAAGGUUUGAAUCCUAGGAUUUGGGUAGGAGUGUAAAGAGCAGUAAAGAAGAAGAAUAAACAUCGUGAACUUAGGGUUAUGGAAGGGAAAAAGUAUGAAUUUAUAGGGAGUCUUAAGAAACCCUAUUUAAUAAGGAAAAAUAACUCUUUUUCUAAAACUAUCUCAUAAAUAACCUCUAUUUAUAAUUUAGUAUCCCUUUCUUAAUAAGGGUUAUAGGCCACCAUAAUUUCCAAUGAAAGCCCAAUUUCCAUAAUUUAAUAUUAUGGAAAUUUGUGGUGUUACAUUUUUUUAAUAAUAUUUGAAUAGAGAGCUAUAAUUUAGUAUCCCUUUCUUAAUAAGGGUUAUAGGCCACCAUAAUUUCCAAUGAAAGCCCAAUUUCCAUAAUUUAAUAUUAUGGAAAUUUGUGGUGUUACAUUUUUUUAAUAAUAUUUGAAUAGAGAGCUAAAUCAAGGUGACUAACCAAAAUGCGAAAAAAAAAAAAAAAGCGCCCACAUAUUGCUCCAUGAUUUAAUUUACAGUAUGAUUCUACAAAAUAAGGUGUCACUUCCUGCUAAUUUAAAACUAAUAAAAUUAUUAUAAGAGUUGUAUAUUAGAUCGUAGUGAUAAGUAUUAUAAGAGGUUGUAUUACAAGUAACGACCACAAAUCUGUCUAAAGUAAUUAUUUAUUUAUAAAGUUGUCUUCUUUUGACUUUGGUAAGUUUCCCAUUAGAUUAGUUGAAAUGUUAGUUCAGACGACGGUUACUAUAUCAUCUGCCCCUAAAGCUUUGCCAUAAUCACAAGUUGGGUUAGUGGGUUCUGUUCAUGUCUUUUCUCUUAUUAUUGUAUUAAAUUUCAGCUAACACAACUCCGAGAUAAUUAUUAAUUGUGUCAAGAAUAGCAUGACCGAUUCAUUGUCCUAUCAUAAUCGCAUCAUCAUUUAACACAAUUUUAAUGUUUUAUUCAUAAAAUAUCACAUUUUUAUCAUUUUUUUUAUUACAAUUUACUUUGUUCUUAUAAUUUUACGUGGAUAAACAAGAAUACGUUCAAGUAGUGGCACAAGGCAUAUUAUCAUAUUAUAACUAAUAGUAAAGCUAGCGAAGGGGCAACCUAGGCAACAGUGGUGAAGCUAAAGGAAGGCUAAACCAGACUUUAGGUCGAGUAAGAUUUUUUAAAAAUAAUUGUUAGUUAAUUUAAAAAAAUUAUUUAUAUUAAAAAAAUUUCAAACAUAGUAAAUUAUAAACUGACAACUCAACAUUAGCAAUUACCUGCACUGUGGCUCCAUGAAUUGGAUCCACCGAAGAAGUAUGACCAUAGACAACCAGUGAGGUGAGAGUCGACUUUUGAAUCCUAUGUGAGGGUGACACUAACUUGAGGUUCUUGAGUUUAAAGAGGAACAAGGCUGCUAGUUUUGCAAAUUUGGGGGAGAUGAUGGGAAGAAAAAAUCAUCUGAUUUCAACUUUUGAGAAAUAUAAAUUUUAUUUUAAUAUUUUAAUGAGAGAGAAAGGAAGAAAGAGGGAGAUGAUAAUGAACACAUUUUUGUUGCUUUUUUAUUUUAAUGCUAUUAUGUAAAGUCGUUGGAUUUGUUUUACUACAAUUUAUUUUUAUUUUAUAGUAUAAAAUCAAAAUAUCCUUUCACUUUAAUCAAUGAACAAUAAUUAAAAAAUUUUUUGGCCCCCCUGCAAAAAUGUGCUGGCUUCGCCACUGUCUGAGCUAUUGCUCAGGCUAGUCCCAACAAAAUUUCAUGUAAAUCCAUCUAUUUUUAGUUUAUUAAAAUGUACUUAAAUAAAUUACCGCUGUCUUCCAUCUAAUUUUUUAUGUGUAAAAGAAAGAUGCUUAAAUGAAAUUAUUGAUAUUUUUUUUCUUUAAACCCUCUCUAUUAUUCGAGAAUUGUCCACUCUACUCACAUUUUGUGAGGGAUAAACUAGUUUUACUCAAUUAUUUGAUAAUUAAGGGAGGAUUGAAAUUAACCCCCAUAAUGCUUUUAUGGAGGCUCAAACCCUUGCACUCAACAUUGUAAGUGCAAGGAUUCUCCCACUAGACCAAAGGCCCAUUGGUACGUGACUGAUUUUAUGAGGAAGUGCUACUAUUUAGCUGUAUCAUCAUUUGUAGUUGUACAUUCUCAAUGAAAUUCAAGCUGAAAUGUCUAUGGCCAUGCUAAUGACCACGGCCACACCUAUUUUCAUAAUUGUCAUCACAAUAAUGUGAGAGAACAUUUGCUUUAAUAGCCAGUUUUGUACUAGUAAAAUGGGUGAUGCGAACCCUACAAUGAAACUUUGAAACCCACACUUAAUUUAUAGUUUCAACUUCCCAAGAAAGUUCUAAACAUAUUUAUGCGAAACAAAAACCUUGACCUAAUGUUUAAGAAAAUAUGAACCAGAGGUAUAGAGAAGAAUAUGGACGCCACACUCAAGAUUUAGAUGAGAAGGUGAGUGAUAAGUCUAUUUUGGAACGCUACAAGAAUAUAAAUUAUUAAUAAGUUCACUAGUUCUCAAAAGAACCAAAGAAAAAAUAAUCUUUCAAAUUCAAAAUAACAUUCAUCUCUAAUUGUCUUACAUACCAAGGUUACUGAAUUUAAAUAGGCUAAUAGAAACUCAAGAUCCUAAAAAUACAAUGAAAACAUUGGAACAACCCUCCAAAUAUAGGUUUGUCAAAAGAUGCUUCAAAAGUCUUCAUCAAUCCACCAUUAGUAAUGCUAGUCAUUGACAAACUUAAUACUAGCCUCCCAUAAUUAAUGUUAUCAUUGACAAACUUAAUGUUAGCCCACCGUCAUUGAUGGUAGACUUACCUUACACAUAGACAAACUUGAAACAAAACAAACAAAUGAAAUUGAAUAAACUAAGUAGUCGUUGGAAAUCUCAAGUCUGAACAAGCUGUAAUAAAUUGGUCAUAACUCCUUCUAGAGAACUCCAAAUCCAGCUCUGUAAAUUGCAUUGGAAAGUUAACUUAAUUAUCUUUCCAACGGUAUAUAGUUUGCAUGUUACUUCUAGCUCAAUCAAUAUCAGUGUUAUUCUAAAUUUUCCCUUUCUGCAUUUGAUCCAAAUUGUGUAUUUGGCUGCCCAAUAGCUUGAAUAAUGCCCACAAUGCCUUGUCUUCUCUCCAAGCCCAAUUCAUGAUGUCUUGUAUCUUGAAUUGCAUUUUCAGUCCAUAUUUUCUCAAUUAAUCAAUUUAAAGUAGUUUGCAUUUUUUUUGCUCUAUCUCUUAUAAUUGGGCCUCCAUAAAUGUGCAACGAUUAGUUAAAGCUUUAACAAUAUUCCCUUGAUGGUUCUCAUCAAUGGGCUUGGUGAUUUUUCAUUAAUAAUUCAUUAUUCUUUUCUCCCACAAGAAGGCAUGUAAUUAAGUUAGAAUAUUUUGUAUACUGACGGGUGCUAUAUUGUUGUUGUAGAACCAUAUUGGAAGCAUGAAAUGUUGUAAAUAUUUUUUUCCAACAUAUCCGCAUCAGUAAUAUUUUCUCCACACAAUUUUAACCGCAAGCAAUUCUGUAUAUUGCAAAAUUAUAUUCUAUUUUCAGUGCUUGGUGGAGAUGGUGACGUAGAUAAAUCAUGGCCUUGGCUCGAUCCUGAAAAGAUGAGUCAUUAUUAUUUUUUAUUGUGUCACUAAGGCCCAUAACAUCAAGAUGAAUUUCAGCAUUCAAGAUCCAGGAUAAAUAAUUCUCGCCAGAUAUAUUCAAGGUAUUAAAUUCCAAUUUUGUCAAGUAGGAUAUUACCACAAACAAAUAAACAAAUAUUAGUAUAAUAAAUAUUGAAAAGAAUGUAAAUAAGUGGCUUACUUAUAAGGAUAAUUAUAAAUAAACCUAUGGAAAUAAAAGAGUAAGGGGAUAUGAUACUUUCUGUAUCAAAGCGCAGUCGUGCUGAUAAUAUAUUAUAAAUUUAAAAGAAUAGUUUGUUACAAAUCUAGAAGCAACUCCUUUAGAAUUGGAUAAGAAACCUUAUAACAAAGUUUUAUUUAUAUUACUGCUACAUUACAAAUCUUUUCAAAGAAGAACAACACUUAGAGUCAGACAUUUUGCUCUAACUACAAAUAUAUACAAUUGGCGUCUUAGUUGAGUGGGUGACAAGAUAUGUUAUAAAACCUAAAGUUGUGAACCCACUUUCAAAAUGGUGAGUACAUUAUUAAUUACAAAUGAUGCUUCCAUUUGCUUGGUGAUUCCACAAUAAUUUAUAACACAAAUAUACAAUAGAACAACUUUAAUAUAUAAUGGUUUAAAAAUGAGUAUUGGCACAAACUCUCGAUGAAAAUGUAUAAUUAAUUUGCAACUAGAACAUUGUAAUUAUUGUUAUUUACAACGUUUAAACUAAUCUAAAGGGAACAACUCUGUCAUUAUUUACUUUAAACAAGAAAUAACACUGAACGAGUAUGAUACAGGUACAAAUUCAUUUGCAUAAAUUUAUGUCAUAUUACUUAAGUAGUUAAAUGAAAACAUCACAUGGCUUACAUAAAAUAUUUUUACUAUAUUUAAUAUUUUCAUUCAACUAUUCAUAUAAUACCACAUCGGUUUGCAUAGCUCUCAUAUUACUCUUUCUAAACAUUAUAAUUUCUAACAAACUACUAGUACUUGUACUCUUAGUGUGAGGACAUGUGGUUUGAUCUAUGCACAAUCAUUUAAUAAUCAUAUCAUAUUUAAUAAGAUAAACUCAUUUAUUCAUGUCAUAUUUAUAUAAUUGGGUUACUAUAGGACAUGUCAAAUUUUAACAGCUUUACUCUGCCCAGUAAAAUUGUAACAUCUCAAAAAUUUACCCAUGAAAACACAAGGGUAAAAUUGGAAUGAAACCUCACAUCAUUUAUUCUUAUUAAUAAACCUCAAGAUAAACAAUCAUUAUUCAUAUUCCAACUGAAUACUUACAUAAAACAUCUAAAAUAAAGUCUCCAAAGAAAAGUCUCUAAUCCAAAAAAUAAAAAGUCUAACCAAAUUUAAUCUUUAAAAAAACUCCAAAGAUCCACUAAGAAAAUUUCUCCAUCUAAGAACUCAAGCCACAUCUCUAAUCAAUCUGCAAAAUAUUGGAGACGAGGGGUGAGCCGUCAACUCAGUAAGCAAAUCCAUGCACAAUAUUUGAAAACUUUUGUCAUUUACCUUUAAACAUUUUAUAAUAAUAUCUUCAUUUAGCAUAAGGGGUGGAUUCAUGUAAAAUCAUUAAAACAUUCAUAAAAACAUUAAAACAUAAACAUUGGUAGCUCAUGCCUCGUAGUCAUCAUCAUUCAUCAUUUAUCAUUCAGGGUACUAUACCCCGCAUUAUUGUUCAUAACAUCCCUGUGCACAAGAUCAUCAUCAUACCAGCAAGUUGGCCAUAGCAUUACAUAACAUCAUAACAUUUGCAUCAUAUACAUUAUUACGAACUAUGAGCCAAAAUAUUUUUGAAUCCACCUUACAUUCUUUCAUAAAUAGUAUUUAAAGUCUUCUAAAACAUUUAAGAACUUUUCUUUGAACAUUUAAUUCUUUUAGAAAAUUCUUUAAGAAAACAUUUCGUUUAAGAAAACUAAUUUCUUAAGAAUUAAAAAAAAUUAUAUAAAUUCAUUUAAAAGUGUUUUUAUUUUACAAAAUUCAUUUAAAUAUUUUAAAAAUCAGUUUUGUAAAACUUUUCAUUCAAACAUAAAUUGCAUUUAUUAUAAAGCGCAUCAUGCAUGAAUCUACUUACCUCGAUCCGCAACAAUCAACUCAAUACCUCAAGAACAAACUAAGGAGCUCACCCACGUCCUAUAAUCAUCAUAAAAGUAUCCUUAUCAAUAUUAUCUAUAACCUUAAACGUAAUCCCAAUCAUCCUUAAAUCAUAGUCACUUAUACUAGCUCAAAACUUAUACAUAUUCUAGACUUAAACUGCUGUACGGCCAAGGCGGAUGUACGGUACAGCAGAUGUUUUUUUUUUUGUAAUUACAGAAGACACAUUCAGAAAGCAUGUAAUUAAAAUUUAUAAUUUUUGGACGCCUGAAACUAUUUUAUAAGCGUUUUAUUUCCGAGAACAUCUAAUCUGUCCAGAAAAUUCCAGAUUUGAAAAUAGAAUUUCAAAAAUUCAUAUCUUUUAGUUUACAUGCCCAAAAAUCGCGAUUCCAGUUUUUAAAGACAGAGGAAAGAUUGAAAUUUCAUUAUAAAAUCCUAACAUGGCCUGUAAUAUUCAUAAAUUAGCCCAAACUGUUACACGUAUCAGCUUCUGCAUUUCGGGAAAACAGUUUCCAGAUCUGCAGCAGCCGCAUGUUACAAUUUUUAAUAAUUUAACCAUAAUGAAUAAAAUUACGAAAUUAAACAUGCAAUCAUAUUAGACAUAGAUCUGUUGAUAAAACAAUCGCCAUAAUUUUUAAGGAUGUCUAACCUUAUGGAAAAGUUUCCAGAAGUGAGAACCGCUGCUCAAAAUCGGAAUUUUCCAGCACCAGUAACCCAACUUCGAAAAACCAUAACAAUUUGCAUACUCAGAGGAUUUCAACACAAGACCUAUCAAUGGAAAGCUUAGGAUGUCUAGUUUCAUGAUUUGUAAACGUAUUUAUGUGAUUCCAAAUAAAGAAACCGAUUUCAAGCAAAGAAUACAGAUUGUUUCAUCACAACAUUAUAAACACACAUAUAUUACCUAGAUCAUACCACAAGUAAUUAAAUGCAAACAACUAAUAAAAAUAAAUCAAAGAAAUACUUAAUACCUCAAGGCAAACGCCAAGCAAAGAGGUUAUAAAACUUUCUUUUUCUUCUCCAAAGGCUUAUGUUUUUUUUUUUUUUCUGAGGUUUGUAACGGCAUAGAAAUUAAAAGACAGCUUCCUUUUAAAAAGAUGCUUCCUCUUAAAUACUUGGUAAUUAAUAAAUACUUUUUUUAUAAAAACUAAUAACUUGCGUAACUUAUUUAAAGCAAUUUGAUAAAUUUUACUCACACACAAACACUCAAUAAUAAUUAUCCUACCUAAUUUAAUAAGGGUAAAAGAGGAAACAAAAAUAAAAGUGAGCGUUCCAAAAAUGUUCAUCAAUCACUCCUCCACUCUCUUAUACAAGGCUGAAAUUAUCUAAGAACAUAGAUGAGGUUUUUUUGCCUUUCAUCGCCAAUAGUUUUAAAAUCAUUCAAAUCGUUUGUACUUUAUUAAAGUUGUUGAGCUUGGACAGUUUUCAUCAUCUAAUUAAUAAAUUAUCAGAACGUAACAGCCUGGAAAGGCUUGGGCCUAAAAAUCUAACCCAGCCUGGCCUUGUAGCCGAAGGCUGAAAUCAAAUAAAGUUGGGCUUGAUUAUUGAGAUGGAAACAAAUUUUUAAAAUAAAAAUAUAAUUCAAUAACUCGUGUUAUAUUUUAAUGCAUGUAUAUUGAUGCAACUCCCUCAGCCCUUGAGACAAAUUUGAAACAGCCAAACCACAUUGGAGUUCGAAGCAUACAACAAUAAAUAAAACACAAAACACACAUACCAUGCCAGGACUUGUAGCAUAUCCAUGAAAUCUACUAAACAAAACAAUGUCCUGGCUCAUCACGACUUAUUAAUGAAUAGACAGCAGAAAUGGAUUAAUGCUGGAUGAUGUUUCCUCUUCUGAUUUUACCUACAUUAAGCGAAGGAAAAUAAGAAUUAGAAAUGAAAGUCUGCUUUUAAUUACAGUUCUUCUUACUAGCUACCGAUCAAUGAGUCUAUAUUAGAGACAUAAUGUUGACAUUAGAAGCAACGCAAUUGAACUCCCGUUUGUAUAACCAUUAUAAGUGUAAUUCCUCAGAUAAACCUUUAAUUUGAAUUAUAAUUCAGGGAGUUACUACGCAAAUCUACAGAGGAAAUGGAAAAGGACAUACCAAAUUAGGCAUCUAAAUGUUGAGCUAUCAGAGAAGGAGUAAAAUCUCACCUCAUCCGCUACAUCAGAUUCCAUAAGGAUACAUUUGGAUGUAAUAACGCCGCUCCAUAUCCUCAUAAGCCCUUAGCUUUUUUCUCAACUCCGGCUGAGGCCAAUGCAAUUCCAAUUUGCGUAAGCUCUCUAUGCGCCAUAGCUCUUCAGGUAGCUUUUUCAAGUAAGCACAAGGGUUGAUAAUCAAGCUUUCAAGUUUUGUCAUAGCUCUUGCCCCCAUUGUCCACUCCUCUAGCCAAAACAUUGAUUUCAGGUGCAGAAUCUUGAGCUUUGGAAAACCACCAGAGCCCACACAAGCCAGCUUUCUUCCUGAAUACGAGUUCUGCUUCAGUUUCAACACCAGAAGGUGUGGCAGCUUUUCCAGUGUCGGCAUGGGAUCCUCCUUGAGUUCAGUAUUUGAUAAGCUCAAUUGGGUCAGACUUGGAGGAAAUUGGUAUUCAGACAGGAUCAUUUGUGAGAGUUGCCACCCCUUACUUUUAUUCACCAGCUUCAAGCUUUCAAGUUUGAGUAGUUCGCGUAGGCUCUUAGACAACCCAGAUUGGUAGGAACUCAAAUCUCCAUAUAUUUUUAGAGUUUGAACAUUAGGUAGUCUGCCCAAUGUAUCUGGAGUGCAGCUACAAGGGUGUAAGGCUGAUAUGAAAAUCAGAUUUUUCAGAGAGCUGCAAUAAUUUUCUGGAGGCGCAGGGAGAGUGAUACAACCGAAGUUUAGAUGCAUUAGUUUAUGCAUGUUCCAAAUAUCUUCUGGCGUAUGAUCUAUGUAGCUGGAUGGCAUAUCUAGUGUUUGAAGGUUUAGAAGGUUACAUAGUGAUGAAGGAAGGCUUUUGAGAGAAGGGACAUCCAGCUUCAAACAUCUCAAAAGGAAUAAAUUUUCUAUUCCGGAUGGAAAUUGGUCAAGAACUAGAGAACCCAUGUUCAAUACCCUGAGUAGUUUGAACUUUUUACAAAUAUUCUCACAAUCUAAGAGGGCAGAAUGAUCGCUUUCUAAGGCAAAAUUCUGCAAAGAAUGGAGAUAUGUGUCAAUAUGCUCUAAAGAAACGAAUUUAGUCAGAUUAUUUGGAACGGAGAACCGUUUAAUAGUUCUCAAUUCCUCUACUAGACCUAAAUCAAGGACCAUGACAAAUUUCAUUUUUGCGGCCAAAACAACUAAUCCUGCCCAUACACUGCUAGGAACGGAGCAUGUUUUAAUUUUACCUCCAGCACUUCUCUUCCCCACUUUAAUUAAGCCCCGACUGAUCAGUUCCUUCAAGUACUCCUCUGCAUUUGCCUCACUGUUGUGUGCAACGAAACCUUCAGCCAUCCAUAGCUGAUACAAUUGCCUGGUUGAUAUCUCAAGGUUUCCAUAGAAGACACACAAAUAGAAACAACAAAAUUUCAAGUACAAAGGUAACUCGAAGAUAGAACAAAACAGAAGAGCUGUUGGUUCAUUCUCCAUUUCCAUCAUUUGCGAUUCUAAUGAUUUGCAUCCGCAGUAUAAUAGGAAAAAUUGCCAGCCUUCAUAUUUUAUUCUAAACAAUGGUCCUCCAACGAGCACAGAAUCACUCCCAAUCUUCUCUCCAUUCUCUAAUUCGAACGAAGUGAGGAUGUCAGGAUCAACGACCGUUAUCAGUACUCUGCUUCCAUUCUGAUAAUCUGGAAGAGCUUCUCGAAGAUCAUUCCAUAUCAUAUCGUGAUAGAUAUCAUCAAGGACAGUCAUAUACUUCUUAUUUGUCAGGUAAUCACGAAGAAUGGACUUCUUCAAUGUAUAGUCUUUACCAAUAAUUUCACUCAACCCAGAUGCAGGCAUCACUGACUUUAUUAUGUCGUCCAAUAUCUUUUUGAAAUUGUAUUGUAUGGAUACUCUAACCCAAGCUCGGCAAUCAAAAUAAAACUUGACAUGAUUACUGUUGAAAGCCUCUGCAGCAAACGCAGUCUUAUUGAAACCUCUGCUAUCAAGAAUUGCGACUACUGAAAGCUGAGGUUGUCCCUCUAUCAACAGAUCUAACAACGCCUCCUCCAUGUCCCUCUUCUCAAACCCUGGAGAUGAAGAAGACUCACUUUCUUGAUGAAUUCGAAUGAACAUGUCCCUUUCUUUACUGAGAUCAACAGUUAUCCGGUUGGGUGGAAGUUGUGCAUCCGAUUUCUAAUGUCAGAGAUUUUACUUUGAAGUCCAACAAGAGCAUCCUUAUAACUAGUGCUUUCACUUUCACUUUCACUGCUUUGCGGCUGCAUGAUGGUGGUGAAGAAUGUGUCGAUGGCUUUCUCAGACUCAUAGACAAAGUAAUUGAUGUCGUUCAGAAUGCUCAAAACGUCGGGUCUAUCGACAUCUUCUUCAACAUUCCAGAGUUGAAUCAGAAGCCGAUUGAUGUCACUUUUAUAGUCCCUCAGCAAAGUAGUAAUAAUUUCAAUCUCCGAUAGAAAAUAUUGGAGAACAGGCUUUAAAUUUGUUGAAUCAGGCAACGUUAACGCUCCGUCUUCACCUGCUAACACCCUUUUCAGCCUAUCCGAAAAUAGUAUGAGGUUCAUCUCCAUAUCUCCUUUCUCCCAGGUACUACCAAUCUGUUAUAGUUAGAGCAUUAACAAUGAACAUCAAUGAAUGUGAUAACUCAUUAUGUUAAUCAUCAGGAUCGCUUAGAUUAACAAACUUCAACUUGCAUUAUGAGAAUGUAAUUAACCAUUAUUAAUUUGCAACUAGGGCAUUAUCAAUAAUGAUUAACAUCUCAACUAAUCUAAAGGGAGACUAGCCAAAGUCAAAAGAAGAUAUAUUAUUGAUAAACCAGAUUCUUAAUUAUUUUCUCUCAUGCUGAAUAUUGCAAGCACGUCUUACAUAUCAGAAACAUUAUACAUCCAUAUUUUUCACCAAGAAUUGUAUCUCAUUAGCUUGCUGGUGAGAGACCCGUUAAUCAAAUUUAAGAUCUCUGUUUCGAAAAUCCUGUGAAACUAAAUAAAUCACCACAACUAAUGCUUAAUAUAAUACUUCUUCAUAAACAAAUGAUGCUUACAAUUCCUUCUUAUAUUGAGUAAUCCAAGAAUGAGUAAGCUUCCAAUCAUAUAUCCGUGAUAAAUUAUGGUCAACACCAAUAUAAAAGACAAGAAAAUAAAAAUUUUAAUACAGAAAAUAUAACACAUUGGAAGGUGUAUUUUUUAAUUUUUUACUUUGAUAAGACAAGAAAAUAAAAAUUUUAAUACAGAAAAUAUAACACAUUGGAAGGUGUAUUUUUAAAAAUUUUUUACUUUGAUCUUAACUUUAUGGUAAUCAAAGUAUACUUGAUUGGAAAAUUAUUCAUUCUAGAAAUAUAAUCUUUCUAAUGCGUACAUAGAAAUAAUUGACGGGAGAUCGCUUUUCGGAAUCGUUCAUUACAAAUAAGGUUGUUUCAUGAAGGCUUAAUUCUAGAACUUUUUUAGGAAAUAGAUUUCAUCAUAAAUGAGUCUACUUAACUUGAUCUGAAAAAAAUUCCUAACUUUUCAUCUAUUAAUCCUAUUUGCCAGAAGCAUAUCCUAAUAUUGGAAAUAUCAAUGGAUUUAUCACUCAUAUGCAUCAUAAAAUAAAUUUUAUCAUCUAUUAAAUCCCAAAAAAUCAAAUUCUGUAACAGAUUGUGUAUGCUUAAGAACCUUCAAAAAUUAUGUCAACAAGCUAAAAUCCAAACUCCAUAUUUUGUUACCUAUUAAACAGUUUUUUUACCAAAUGUUUCUCUAAUUAUAGAUCAGUUAAUGAGGUAAAAUUUAUGAAAAUUAGACUGAUCAGAGCUAAAUAUAUAGUUAUUGAACUCCAAAUAUUUCGUGCCCAAAAUCCCAAAGUUACACAAUAUUUAACAUUAGCAAAGAGACUGAUACAUCAAAUUCAAAAUGGAAAUGUGCAAGUCAUUGUGUAGUAAUCUAAAUUUAACUUCUGCUUUCGUAAAAUUUUCCAAAGUUAACAGUAGCAUGAAUAGUGAUCAAUCCUCAUGCUUUAUUAAGCAAAACUAAAAAGAUUUUAAAACAAAAAAAAAAUCACUUACCAAAGCAAAAAAUGCAGGCAAACGCUUGAUCUCUUUCUCUCAGUCAGUGUGUCAAUUAUGAUGAUAAUCAUGAUGACCAGUACUUUAAUUAACGAAUUGAAAUAGCAACUUUAGAUCUAAAAAUCAUGCCCAGGGUUUUUACAAGUUGCGAUAUAAAAAUGUACAUAAUCAUAAUUAAUUUCCAACUAGGAGGUUGUAAUUAACAAUCUUAUUGGACGUUUCAACUGAUCUAAUAAUGGGAGACCAGAGCAAAGUCAAAUGAAUAAUUUUAUAUAUAGCUCCAUAAUUAAUCAAUUUAAAAGAAGACCGAUUUAUAUAUUCGAAUUUUGAAAAACGUAAUUAAAAAUUUAUUGAGAUUUUAGCAUACUACAACCAUUACACGCACAAUAUUUGCAACAUAUAAAAAGGUAAUUAGGAGGUUUACCGCCACCUAUUCAGAAUUCGAACUCGGAUGACCAUCUAAAUAAAAUCAUUUGAAAACCACUCGACUACACUAUUGAGACAACAGGUAUUCAUAUAUUAUUUAUUCAAAUAAUUGAGCAUGAAGUCGAGGAGUGAGAAGGACUUGAAGUGGAGUGGCCUUUAGGUUAGUCAACCCUACUCCCUCACUCAGAUCGAGUGGUUCAGUAUCCCCCGGACCUGGAGUUGCAAAUUCAAAUCCAUGCAACAAACUAGCGAGUGUUAGUAGCAGCACUUGAAGGGCAAAAGAGAUUCCAGGGCACCCUCUUCUUCCGGAGCCAAAGGGUAUCAAUUCAAAGUUUUGUCCUCUAACAUCAAUAUCUUUGUGUGUUUUCAGAAAUCUUUCUGGUCGAAACUCAUUAGGCUCUUCCCAAACAUUUGGAUCUCGAUGAAUCUUUGCAAUGUUGACAAAAAGACGUGUGCCGGCAGGCACAUGGUAGCUGGCUAUGGUGCAGUCUUCCAUGGAUUCAUGUGGUAUAGAGAGUGGCGCAGCAGGACAUAAACGAAGAGUUUCCUUUACUAUAGCUUGUAAAUAAACUAAAUUUUUAAUAUCAGAUUCAAUCACUUGUCUUUCUCUACCAAUGUGGGUAUCUAAUUCGUUUUGGACCUUCUUCAAAACGUCAAGGUGGUUGAGUGUUAAAGUGAGAGCCCAUGUCAAUGUAAAUGUGGUGGUGUCUGUUCCUCCCAAUAUAAGAGCCUGCAUGCAAAGGCAAAGAACCAUGCCCGGCCCCAACCCAAAGUCAAUGUGAUUAUAAUGAAUGCAAAUACAAUAAAAUAUAGAAAUACAACCUAAAAUAAUACCGUGACUAAUUCAGUAAUGUGUCUUUUGAAUGUAACCUUUUUUUUUUUUUUUUGAUAAGGUCUUUUGAAUGUAACCUAAUAUUGAACAGUUGGAAAAAUCUUGGGUGAUUCGGUUUUCUUCAUUAGCUUUUUUCUUUAUGUGUCUUUCAAUUAAUUAUGAAAAUGUUCAUUCCGUUCCGGAAAAAAUAUUCUGAAUUAAAGUACUAUAGAAAAAAUGUGACUACAAUUUUUUGUAUCUAAUAGUAUAAAUUUAUAUAUGUAUGGACUACGACCUUUGGAUGGUUCCUUGUUCAAUAUUGAAAAUGUGAUAAAUCAUGUUCAACCGCCCGCAGAAACUUUAUAAAAGAUUUUAUACAUUAUAAAGCCUUCAUAAUAUUCUAAAAUAUUUUACAAUGUUGUCAUUGUGCGCGCCCGAACCUGACUCAAUCAAGAAGUGAUUUCUUAGGCAUAUAUUACACACUAUUAAUUGUGUCUAAUUAAACUAAGAGUAAUGAUACAGCCACAAACUCUUGUACAAACUUAUUUUGUACAAACUGAUGUGGCAUGAUAAGAUUGGUUGAAUUAAAUAUCACUUGGCCCACAUGAUUUGUUUUUAUUAAUUUAUAUUUUCAUUCAACCAAUCUUAUCAUGCCACGUCAGUUUGUACAAAAUAAGUUUGUACAAGAGUUUGUGGCUGUAUCAUUACUCUUAAACUAAAUUUUGUUAAUACGUACAAACACAUAUACAUAUACAUAUAUAAUUCUCUAAUGAGGAUAUCGUUAUUUUAGCAAAGUAAAGAUGUCAUUAACAGAUUAAAAUAUAUAUUUUAAUAUACUAACAAAUAAAAAAUAAUAAUCUCUAAUGUAUUAAAAUCUAUAUAUUUUUUUAUAUUUUAGUGUGCAACCUUAUUAGAUAUAUAAGAACUCUGUAUAUACACACACAUACCAGGCACGUAGCUUUGGUGAUUGUAUCGGCAUCAAAACUAGGAAGCUCUUCAGCGUCAGCAAGAGCUGAUAGCAUCACGUCCAUGAAGUCGUUCUCUUCCUUGACCACCUGAUCAUCGCUUGAAAUCCUCUUCUGCUUAUGCUCUUCUAACCAGCCUUCAAGAAUUUGGUCAAGCUCUUUCGCUGUCCUCUUCAUGCUCUUCUCAAUUCCAUCGAGAUCUAACCACCUCAAAAAUGGAACGGAAUCAGCAAUUGCAAAAGCCCCGGUUAAUUCCAUUAAUUUUCUUAUUGCCUUUCGACAUCGAUUAUUCUCUUCAUCAAUCUCUUGAUGAUUUGUUGUACCUCCUCGGACAAGUCUUUUCCCCACAACCAUUCUUGUGGCGACAUUAAAGGUCAGUGCGUUAAAUAUUUCCUUCAUCUCAACCAACGCCUUGCCAGAAUCACCUCUGAGCUUCAUCCAUUCAUCGUAUAGUUCUUUCAUGGACGUUCUCACCUCAGAUUCUCGGACGUGUUUGAGCAUUUCCAGGCGGUGAUUUGAGAGAAUCUCCAGUGUGGCAAUCUUCCGGAUUUGGCGCCAGUAAGGACCAUAAGGGCUGAAGCCAAACAUGGCGUAGUUGUAGCCCAAGAUCUCUGGUGCUAGAGCUUUUAUGCGGUUGCAAAAGACUUUAUCAUUUGUAGUGAAGCACUCUUUAGCAAUCUCCCAGUUGCUAACAAUCAAAGCUCUAUGCA